UCAAGUUAACCUCUCUCCUAAACAAUUUUUAACGUAAAUGAUUUUAUCGAAACAAAAGGUUUUUUGAAGACGUGAUUUUACCGCUGCACUAAUUCACCCCCCCCUUAGUGUCGGUCCCGUUCCUAACAAUUGGUAUCAAAGCCGCAAGAGAAUGAGAGAGUGACUCUCUUGAAAGCCGAAAAGAGUCAUUUCUCUUUGGGUGUUAAACCAAAUGAGAAAAUGACGCUCUGAUACCAAUUGUUAGGAACGGGGUCAGCACUAAGAGGGGGGUUAAAUUAGUGCAGCGAUAAAAUCACGUCUUCAAAAACGUUUCAUUUCGAUAAAACUAGUUUCGUAAAGAUAACUUGAAAGCAUACAGAAAAGUAUUGAAGGCAGUAAGCUGUUAAAGAGGUUUGCAGUAAGGACAAAUUGCUCAAAGUAAAAUACAAACCAGAUUUUAGAGUGAUUCGAUCGUCGUGACCUACAUCCACUUCGCCGAUUCCUCUUCCGUCGAGGCCACCGGCAUCCACUAUCACUCUUCCUUCAAUAGGCGAAGACCAACCACCUUUUACACCCCUCUUCUCCUUUUCCCGAGUUUAGGAGACAACCCUUACAAGCACUCACUCCUCUUUUACAGAAUUCUAAACUUAGAUUUUAGAGGAGGGGACUCACUUAUGAUUGCAACAGUGUUUUCUCACUUUUAAUCUCUCGGUGCUUGUGUGUUUUAACCAAGGAUGAGAGGGGUUUAAAAUGAUAUAAAUAGACUUUUAAGAGAUUUAAGAGAUUUAAAAUGAUAUAAAUAGACUUAUCAAUCUCUUAUUGAAAAAUCGAUGAGAUAAAAAUAGAGAAUUUUCAAGAAUAAUAUAUUUUUUUAUGUGUUUCAGUUUAUGUGAUUUAUUUCAUACAAGUAUGCUUUUGCCUUUUAUGUCAAACAAAAACAUACAUCAUCGUUUAAAACUGAAAAAGAAGAUUUAUCACAAGAGUCAUCAAGAUCAAUAAACCGUAAAUCAUAAAAAUUAUCAUUACUUCAAAUCAUUAUUCAUCAUUAAAUCAUCAAACAUGAUUUCAUUAAACAUAAACCAUUUUCAAUCAAAAUCAUUUUGUUUGUUGUAGUAAUGCAUUUUUCUUCUUUAAGUGAAUCUAACUCUUCAUACUUAGUGCUAGGAGUUAACAUGCAAUUGUCAUGCUCAAUUUUUUUUAAUUUUUCAAAAUCACUAGAAAGAGAAGUAUGAACCCUUUUUUUAUAUUUUAUAUAUUAAUUUAAAAACAACUCAUGAAAUACAUCAAGUAAUUUUAUAGUAAAGUAAAGGGGUUUUGGUUGAGUCACUUACCUCGUUGUUGAAAGUCCUCAAAGUAUAGUUUGCCACCUUGCCUUUGUUGGUUUGCUCCUCAUUUUUGAAUGAGCUCGAUUCAUCCCUUCUUCUUAGGCAACUUCUUCGAUUUAUAACAAGUUGUUGUGUCAUUUUUAAGUUCAUUUUUAUUUUUUGAUUCUUAUUUUAUAAACCUUUUAAAUUUACUUAUGAGGAGUUCAAAGUUAUCAUCACUUGAGCUUUCGCUCAAGUUAUCUUCUUUUGUUCUAAGUGUCAAAUCCUUUCUAUUUUUUAGAAGGUUAUUUUUAAAUUUGUCUUGCACCAUACAAGUCAUUUAAUAUGUCAUUAAUAAACUGAUGAAUUCUUCCAAUGGAAAAUUGUUUAAGUUAUUUGCCUCUUGUAUUAUAAUUAUUUUUGAAUCCCAAUUUUUAGAAAGAGAUUAUAAAACUUUAUUAAUAAGUUCAAGAUUCGGAAAACAUUUGUCAAGAGCUUUUAAACUAUUGACGAUAUCAAUAAAACGGGUGUAUAUAUCAACAAUAGUUUCGCUUGGAUUCAUUCGAAACAAUUCAAAAUCAUACAUCAAAAGAUUUAUUUUAGACUCUUUUACUCUAUUCGUGCCUUGAUGAGUUACUUCUAGUGUGUGUCAAAUCUCAUGUGCAGUUUCGUAUAUAGAAAUACGAUUAAAUUUAUUUUUAUCUAAAGCAUAAAAUAAAGUGUUCAUCGUUUUAGCAUUGAAAGAAAAAGUUUUCUUCUCCAAAUCAUUCCAUUCAUUCAUUGGAUUAGAAGACUUUUGAAAAUCACUUUUGAUAAUAUUUCAUAAAUUCAAAUCCAUAGAAAAUAAUAAAACUCUCAUUUGAGUUUUCCAAUAAGUGUAGUUUGUCCCAUUGAACAUAGGAGGACGAAUGAUAGAGUGACCCUCUAGAUUGCCAAAAAAAGUUAUCUCUCUUGGGUGUUAAACCAACAAAGAGAAACAUGUCUCUGAUACCAACUGUUAGGACUAUUUCAGCACUAAGAGGAGGGGGGAGGGGGGGGUGAAUUAGUGCUUUUGUAAAAGUUACGAUUUAGAAACUUCUCAUUCGAUAAACCUCGUAUCGGAAAGAUGCUUAACUUGAAAAUAUUCGUAGAAUUUAAUGAGCAAUAAAAUCAGUAUGAAAUAAAGGUAAAUAGCAAAAGAAAAGAGUACACCAGAUUUAUAGUGGUUUGAUCAUCAUAACCUUCGUCAACUCCCGAUUCCUACUCUAUUGAGGCCACCGACAUCCAUUAACGGUCUUUCUUUAAUGGGUGAAGACCAACUACCCUUUUACAACUCUUUUCUCCUUUGAUAGGCUCAGGAGAGAACAUUUACACCUUUUUAUAAAGUUUCUCUUACACUCUCCCUUAGAAUAGUCUAUAAACUUUAGGAGAAGGGACUAUAUACUUUACAAGGGUUUAUAACUUUAGAAUUAUAGAGUUUUAUUCUACUUUCUUAUUAUCUUAAAUAGGAAAGAUUAGAGUAUUUAUAGACCCCAAAUGACUUUAAAAAUUAGAGCCAAAAUUUAAAUCCCCGAGAUUUUGGGGUACUAGCGAUACCACCACCUGUGCUGGGCAGUACCACCACCUAUAGCACUGACACUAGACGGUACCACCGCCUAGUCUAGGAGGUACCACUAUCUGACAUAGUCUGGGAGAUUAUGUCUGGGUGGUACCACCACCUAGACUAAUGGUACCACUACCUGACAUAGUCUGGGAGACUAUGUUUGGGCGGUGCCAUCACAUAUCCCUUUUAUGGGUGAUCGAAUGGGCCUUUCACUUGGCCCAAAACAGCCCCAACUCAGGUUCAAUUGACCCCUAAUUGAGUUAGCAUUAUUUUACCCCAAAAUUGACUCAAUUAGACCUAACCUAACUCGAUUUAGACAGACGAUUCCAAGCAUGAAUCCUAUAUUAUCUUACAUGUCAUUGGUUUAUCUAGCGCUUUGUCCAAUCCUUUGUCGCAUCAUCCUCUCUUUCGACGUAUUGCCCAAUCGACAUGUUGACUCCCGUAACUUCCGAUCUCCUUAGCACAAUGUAUGAUCCUUCAGCCCGAUGCCUGAACUUAUAGCACGAAGUCUUUCUACAAGUAUGUCGACCGAUCCUCUGACUCGACAUCCAAUCGCCUGACAUGUUUCACUUUGACCGAAUAUCUGAUUCCUCCUACUUUAAUGGAUUUAUCUUUUUUGAUCAAAGUUAGUCUUGUGUCACUCAAAACACAGAUUAGAUUAUAAAAUUUAUCAAUUGAUUUCAUCAUCAAAAUUCAAGAUUCAAUAAUAACCAUGUGUACUUAGUGAAAUAGUCUACAAAAAUGAUAUAAAAUCUAAAAUUGUCAAAAGAAAGGGUUAGGGUGGGGCCCCAAACAUCGGUAUAAAUAAUUUCAAACUAUUUUGUUUAUUGAAUUGAGAAACAAAAAUAAGGUUUCGUUUAAUGUGAUGUGCACAUAAAACAUCAUCGAGUAUAAAGGUUGUAGUAAGUGAAUUAAGUGUUAUGGAACCAGUAUGAGUAAUGAAAAUUUAUUUACCGUCACCAAUGAUGAUAUCUUCAUUUUCGUCAUAAUUGUUGUGAAUAGACAAGUUCUGAAGAUCAGAGAUGAUAUGAUAAGAGGCAUGUCCACAACCAAUUAGGUUGGCUAGUAGUCAAAGUAGUCAUGAGAUUUGCUUGAGACCACUGAGAUGGAGUAGGGAAUCUAGGUCGAGACCGACAGACUUUCACAAAGUGUCCAACUUUAUCUCAUAGCUGGCAAAUGACUCUUUGUUGGCUUGUGAGGUUAGGAGGCCAGGUAUGAUGAUAAUUGAAGUUGCCACCUUGAUAGUUGAAAUGUUGAUAAUGUGAUUGAGGGGGGUUUUGUUGGAGACCUAUAAGGUCAGGAGACAGCUUAGUCAGACCUUUGUUAACAUUCUUAUUAUAUUGGUUGCUCUUUCUCUCAUAUUUUUUACUGACUUGAGCUAUGAUGGUUAGUCCGGGCAACUUAUCCUUGUGCUUUAAAUACAUCUUAUAGUCAGUCAGCUUGUCAUAGAGUUCUUCGAAUGAUAUUGGUGAGUCAUGUGCCCGAAUUGCUACUAUCAGUUCCUUGUGUUGAAUCUUAGAUUUUGAUGAUGAAACCAAUUGAUAAAUGUUUAUGAUUUAAUCUAUAUUUUGAGUAAUGUAGGAUUCUUCGAUCAGGAUGAGACAAUUAAAGUAGAAAGAAUCAUGUUGGGCCGGUGGAACAUGUCAGAAGAUUGGACGUCGAGCCGAAGUAUCAGUUGACGUAUCGAUAGAAGGCUUCAGGCUAUGGAUUCGGGUAUCGGGCUAAGAAGAGUGGAUAUUACGCUAAGGAUAUUAGAGUUGCGGAGUUAACUGGUCGAUUGGGCAAUAGGUUGUAAGAGAGGACGAUGCGCCAAAGAAUCGGACGAAGCGUCGAGGGACCAAUGACAUACUAGACAACAUGAUUCAUACUUAGUAUUAAUUUUCUAGAUCGAAGUGUGUUUUUACAUGUGUGGGAUUAACUACGAUAGCAAGGCAUAAAGCAAAAUGAAGUCCCGGAGUCAAAAACAUGAUUUCGUUGAGAGUUCGAGAGUUCAUCGGAAGUCCGGACGUUCGUCGAAAGUUAUAUCGAGAAGUCCCGAAGCUUGCCAAAGAAGCUCGUCGGAACUUACCAAGAAGAUUGUCGUGAGGUCCAGGAGCUUACCGGGAGUCCGCUGGAACAUUGCCGAGAGAUCAUUGGAAGUUCGUCGAAAGCUCGUUGAAAGAAACGUAGACUUACAGACUUGUUUAGCUUAAGUAUACCUUAGAUUUCGUAGUUAGCAUAUAAUUAGGUUUGGAUUUGGCCCAACCCAAUUAGGGGCUAGCUGAGCCCAUGUAAUGACUGUGUUGGGCCCAAUGAAAGGCCCAAACAAUAACCCAAGAGAUGGCACCGUCGUGACACAGUCUUUGAGACUGUGUCAAGCGAUGAUACCGCCAGUCUAGGCGAUGGUACCACCUAGUGGCCCAAUGCCAGACGGUGGUACUGCCCAGUGUAGUGUUAGUGUCAAACUGACACUAGCGGUGGUUCUGCCCAGCAUAGAUGGUGGUACCGCCCAAACCCAGGAAACCCGGGAUAAGAUGUUUUUAGGCUCCAAGUUUGAAUCAACUUGAGGCCUAUAAAUACCCCUCUCAUCCCUGGUUAACAAACACAAGACUUGAGAGUAAAAAUAGAAAGAAACGCUGCUGCAAUCUUGUGUGAACUCCUCUCAAAAGUUCUAGGUGUUAGAAUGGUUUAAGAGAGGAGUAAGUGGGGGUGUAAGGGUUAUCUCCUAAACCCGGCAAAAGGAGAAUCAAGUUGUAAAAGGUGGUUAGUCUUCGUCUAUUGAAGACCGAUAGUGGAUGCUGGUGUCUUCGACGGAAGAGGAAUCGGUGGAGUGGAUGUAGGUCACGAUGACUGAACCACUAUAAAAAUCUGGUUUGCCUUUGCUUUGAGCAAUUUAUUUUAAACUGCAAACUGCCUUCUCAUUACUUGCUACGCUCUUCCAUUCACUUUCAAUUUAAGCAUAUUUCUGGAAUCGAUUUUCAAUGUACGAAGAAUUUUCAGAAACGUAAUUUUUACCGCUACACUAACUCAAACCCCCCCCCCCCCUCCCUCUUAGUGCCAACUCUGUUCCUAACAAUUGGUAUCAGAGCCUCGUUUUCUUAUUUAUUUUAACACCCAAAAAGAAAUAGCUCUUUUCGGCUUUCAAGAUGGUCACUCUCUCAUUCGUCCUCCCUUUUUCAAUGGGAUGGACUAUACUUAUUGGAAAACUCGAAUGAGAGUUUUUUUGCUUUAAUUGAAUCUCGAUUUAUGGCACAUAGUCGAAUUUGAUUUUCAAAGGUCUUCUCUUCAAAUGAACCAUUGGAAUGAUUUAGAGAAGAAGACUUUUUCUUUAGAUGCAAAGGCUAUGAAUGCCUUAUUUUGCGCCUUAGACAAAAAGGAAUUUAAUUGGGUUUCUAUAUGCGAAACGACAUUCGAUAUAUGGCACACUCUUGAAAUCACACACAAAGGCACAAGUAGUGUUAAGGAUUCUAAAGUUAAUUUUUUAAUACACGAUUUUGAACUGUUUCAUAUGAAACCAUGCGAAACCAUUUGAGACAUGUACACCCGUUUUACCGGUGUCGUCAAUGGUUUAAAAGCUCUUGGUAAAAGUUUUUUGAAUCUUGAACUUGUGAAUAAAGUUUUAUGCUCACUCUCUAAAACUUGGGAUUUAAAAAUAACGACUAUUCAAGAAUAAAAAAACUUAAACUAUUUCCCUCUCCAAGAACUUAUAGGGUCUUUGAUGACCUAUGGAAUGACAUGCAAUACAUGUGAAGAACUCAAGAACAACCUUCCAAAGAAUAGGAAGGAUUUGGCACUUAGAACACUUGAANNNNNNNNNNNNNNNNNNNNNNNNNNNNNNNNNNNNNNNNNNNNNNNNNNNNNNNNNNNNNNNNNNNNNNNNNNNNNNNNNNNNNNNNNNNNNNNNNNNNNNNNNNNNNNNNNNNNNNNNNNNNNNNNNNNNNNNNNNNNNNNNNNNNNNNNNNNNNNNNNNNNNNNNNNNNNNNNNNNNNNNNNNNNNNNNNNNNNNNNNNNNNNNNNNNNNNNNNNNNNNNNNNNNNNNNNNNNNNNNNNNNNNNNNNNNNNNNNNNNNNNNNNNNNNNNNNNNNNNNNNNNNNNNNNNNNNNNNNNNNNNNNNNNNNNNNNNNNNNNNNNNNNNNNNNNNNNNNNNNNNNNNNNNNNNNNNNNNNNCAAUUUUAGAUGAAUCAAGCUCAUCCGAAGACGAGGAGAAAAUCAACAAAGGCGAGGUGGCAAACUAUGCCUUAACGGCUUUCGACGAUGAGAUAAUCAAAAUAUAUUUUAUUUAUUUCAAAAUUACAUGAUACUUUUCAUGAGUUAAUUUUAAUUUAGUUUAGAAUAAUUAUUUUUCUUGAAAAUUGCAUGUUUAAAAAUGAAAAUGCAAAAAUUAUGAUCAUGCUAGUAAUUUUGAAAAUGAUAAUGAAAAUUACAUGUUUUAUGUUAAUGGAAUAAAAUGUUAGAUUUAAAUCUAAUGAUGAUCCUAUGAAUGUUUUUCAAGAAGAAAUAAUGUGUAUCUUGAUGAUUUUCGAUUUUGAUUGAAACCAUACUUGAUAUCUUAAUGAAAAUAUUAAGAAGUUUGAUAUCAUGCUUAAUGAUGAUGCAUGGAUUUUGUAUCGAAAACUAAGCUUGAAAAGUUAGAUUCACCUAAAAAGAAAAAUGCAUGACUACAAUAAAACAAAAUGAUCUUGAUGGAAAAUGCUUUAUGUUUGAUGAAAUCAAUUUCGAUGAUGCAUAAUGAUGUAAUUAUGUAAUGAAAAUAUUAAAAUCAUGUCUUAAUAUUAUGCAUAAUGAUCGUGCUUAAUAAAUUUCAAAAUUAUGCAUGAUGAUUCUUGAGAUUUAUGGAUUAUCGAUUUUUACGAUAAUGAAAGUGGCUUUUUCGAUUUUUAAACGUUGAUGCAUGUUUUUGGCAUAAAUGAAAAAGACAUGCUUCUAUGAAAUAAAUCACAUGAAUUGAAACUACCAAAAAGAGAUAAACAUUUUUCUUGAAAACUUUUUUUUUCUCUAUCUUAUCAAUUUUUCACUAAGAGAUUGAUAAAGUUGUUUGUCAUUUUGAAUCUCAUGAAAAUGAUUUUGAUGAGUUGAAUUUGAACGAGACUUAUCUUGAUUUUUUGAAAUUUAUAACUUGAGAUUUCUUAUACAUGAAUCAAGAUAUUAUAUUAUUUGAUCUCCUAUGUUUCUUUUUACUAUUUAUAAAAAGAAGAGAUUUGAUAAAAUGAAUCAUGUCUUUUGUAAUUCAAGAGGUCUUAUCUUUCAUGACAUGAUGUGUUUGUAUUUAUGGCUUGUAUGCCUUGAAAUGAUUGAAAUAUUUUAUAUUAUUUUGUUCUUCCCUUAUUCUUUCUUGUUUACAAUGAUAAAAAAUGAAAAAGUUAUGAUCAUGCAUGGUAGGAUGCAAUUUGAUAAAUUAAUACUAUCAUGAUUUGAAAUACUAUGAUUUGUUGCUAAUAUUGAUGUAAUUAUGAAUGAUGAUUUGAAAUCAUGCAUGUAAUGAUGAUUUUAUAUUUUGAAAAUAUACAUGAUGAUUUGGUAUUAUACAUACAAUGCUUAUGCUUUUUAAUUAUGAUGAUGAAUGUGAUGUAUUGCAUAUGAUGUGAAUCAUGAUUGCUUUGAUUUAAAUUCAAGGUUUAUCUUAAUUAUGAUAUUUUGAAAUAAGAAUGAUUACUCACCUUUGUCAUGAUUUAGAAAUUGACGUAAAGGGAAAAAGAAUUACAAUAUUAUAUUCUUCCCUUCUUUUUGACAUUGACAAAGGGGAAAAAAUAUUGCUAGCUCAUCUUACAAAAUUUAGAAACUUGCACUUUGCAAAGGAAGCAAAAUUGCUAGCUCAAACAUUAUAAAUGAAGCAAAAAUUUGCUAGCUUACAAAUUGCAUAGAGAAAGAAGUGCUAUCUUGCUUAUCUCAAGAAGCAAAACAUGCUAACUUACACAUCUAGCAAAAUUUACAAGCUUGUAUAUUUCAAGAAGCAAGAGUUGCUUUCUUGAGCAUUUCAAAAUUGCUAGCUUGCAUGUUUUAAAAUGUUAUAAAUUUAUUGCUAGCUUGCAUGAUGAUAAAACUGAAGAUUAUGUUUAUUAUGUAACGACUUGAACUUACAUUUCAAACACUUGAAAGUUGCACUUCUCCUUUUUAUUGAUGACAAAAGGGGAGAAGUAUGAUCAUGUUAUGCAUUAUGAUGUGUUGCAAAUAUUCAUGAUGAAAUUUACAAUGACUUGAAUUUGAUCUGAAUUCAAGGUUAUAUGAAUAUGGCAUAUUGAUAGGGCAUAUUACAAAUGAUCAUGUUAUGCAUUAUGAUGUGUUGCAAAUAUUAAUGAUGAAAUUUACAAUGACUUGAAUUCGACCUGAAUUCAAGGUUCUAUGAAUAUGACAUAUUGAUAGGGGAAGUUUGUUUAAACUCUGGGAGUUAAGGUUAACUCCAUCAUCAAUUGGUUGUCAUCAUCAAAAAGGGGGAGAUUGUUGAAUCUCAUAUUUUGAUGAUAAAACCAAUUGAUAAGUGUUUAUGAUUUAAUCUAUGUUUUGAGUGACACAAGAUGCUUCAAUCAUGAUGAGAUAAUUAAAGCAGGAAGAAUCAUGUUGGGCCAGUGGAACAUGUCAGAAGAUUGGACGUCGAGUCGAAGGAUCGGUCGACGUAUCGAUAGAAGAUUUCGGGUCAUGGAUUCGGGCAUCGGGCCAAGAAGAGUGGAUAUUGCAUCAAGGAUAUUAGAGUUGUGGAGUCAACUGGCUAAUUGGGCAGUAAGCCGCAAGAGAAGACGAUGCACCGAAGAAUCGGAUGAAGCGUCGAGGGACCAAUGACAUGCCGAACAACAUGAUUCAUGCUUAGUAUUAAAUGUCUAGAUCGAAGUGUGUUUUUACAUAUACAGGAUUAACUACGAUAGUAAGGCAUAAAGCAAAAUGAAGUCCCGGAGUCAAGAACGCGAUUUCGUUGGGAGUUCGAGAGUUUGUCGAAAGUCCGGACAUUCGUCGGAAGUUCUGCCGAUAAGUCCCGAAGCUUGCUAGAGAAGCUCAUCGGAACUCGCCAAGAAAAUCAUCGUGAAGUCCAGGAGCUUGCUGGGAGUCCGAUGGAACAUUGUUGAGAGAUCGUCGGAAGUUCAUUGGAAGAUCGCUAGAAGCUCACCGGAAGAAACGUAGACUUACGAACUUGUUUAGCUUAAGUAUGCCUUAGAUUUCGUAGUUAGCACAUAAUUGGGUUUGGAUUUAGGCCAACCCAAUUAGGGGUCAAUUGGGCCCAUGUAAGGGUGGUGGUACCACCAGUCUUGGCAGUGGUACCGCCUAGUGCAGUGUUAGUGUUAGACUGACACUAGAGGUGGUACCACCCAGCACAGGCGGUGGUACCGCCUGGACCCAGGAAACCUGGGAUAAGAUAUUUUUAGGUUCCAAGUUUGAAUCAACUUAAGGCCUAUAAAUACCCCUCUCAUCCCUAGUUAACAAACACAAGACUUGAGAGUAAAAAUAGAAAGAAACACUUCUACAAUCUUAUGUGAACUCCUCUUAAAAGUUCCAAGUGUUAGAAUAGUUCGAGAGAGGAGUAAGUAGGGGUGUAAGGGUUAUCUUCUAAACCCGGUAAAAGGAGAAUCGAGUUAUAAAAAGUGGUUGGUCUUCGCCUAUUGAAGGAAGACCGAUAGUGGAUGCCGGUGGCCUCAAUAGAAAAGGAAUCAAUGGAGUGGAUGUAGGUCACGACGACCGAACCACUAUUAAAAUCUAGUUUGCCUUUACUUUGAGCAAUUUAGUUUAAAUUGUAAACUACCUUCUCAUUACUUGUUAUGCUCUUCCAUACGCUUUCAAUCUAAGUAUAUUUCUAGAAUCGGUUUUCAACGUACGAAAAUUUUUCAGAAACGUAAUUUUUACCGCUAUACUAAUUCCCCCCCUCUCAGUGCCAACUCUGUUCCUAACACCUUGUACUCGUCUCCUAGACUAUUCAAGGUAUGAACUAGGACUUCUUUAUCAUAUAGCGAAUGAUCUAUCAAAGUCAAGUCAUCGAUGAUAACUUUGAUAUGUUGAAGAUAAUCAGCAAUAGUACUUUCCUCUUAUUUCGUUUUUAUUAGAGUGGAUAGAAGACUAAGCAUGCGAGUAUGUGAGCAAUUCGACAAGGUAGUUUGCAACUUGUAUUAAGCUUCUGCAGUAGUCGUACAUAAAGAGAUCAAUAGGGCGACGGACCCGGUGACGGAGGCUUGAAUAGUUUAGAGGAUGAGACGAUCUUGGUAUAGCUAUAGUUUGUGAGCUGAAUUUGGUACCGGACUAAGGUCUUUUGAGAUGUUGAUCAUUGUUGGUGGACAACUGAAAGAGUCAUCGAUAUAACACAGGUUCUUCCUCGGAAGAUGGACGAGCUCUGUGAGGAGCGAUUAUUGUCGUUGGCAAUGAUAAAUAUUGCUCUAAGACAAGAGGCUCUAAUACCAUGAUAAAUUAAAUUAUAAUGAUAAAAAUAUAUAUUAAAUAAAUAAAUAUAAUAUUUUAUUUAUAUUUGAAAAUGAGAGAAUUUUCCUCGAAUGUAUAGAUUUCCUCGCAUUGUUAAAAAUAAAUCUUAACUAACCUUCUCCUCCUGUUGUGUUUCUCACGGGGAGAGGCUUCGAAACCCACGACCACCACCCUCGUCUCUCUUCUCCCGCCCUCUCGUUUCUUUUAUCAGCCCGAGAGAUGAUUCCUCACCCAUGCACGUGAUCUCUCUCUCCCUCUCUCUCUCUCUCUCUCUCUCAAACGGAAAGUAUGACAAUUAAUGGCUUCCUCAGAGUUAGAUGGGGGAGUUUGAAUCGCAGAGUAGACAUCACAAUCGUGGCCUCUUAUCAGUCAGCUCAAACGCAUGACUGCAUGUUUGACUCAGUUUACGAAUGCAUGGCUUUUAUUUGUUGCUUCAAAAGAAAGAUCAUAAGGCACAGUAGAUCUUAAAUAUUGAACUCGCUUGGUUCCUGUGCCAAUAUUCAAAUAGCUCAUCUUUGACUCACUUGCGAAUUGGAAACAUAGUGGAGAGAACCUCAAAAGAAAUGGAACAUAUGCUUCUCCAACUCUUUUUUAUUUACUUGAUAUAUGUCUGUCACAUCUGAUGUGAUAGAAAAAUAGACGAAUAGAACAUAAGAAAACAUGAGAAAAUACAAACUAAAUCUCAAGUAUUAAUAAUCCUUUUAGUACUAAUAAGUACUAAAAGAAAUAUUACUGAUCCUCAUUUUUUUGUUUUUUAGCAGAGAGCAUUUGUUCUAACAGCAAGUUGGUAGAAACCUCAGACACUGGACAUGUAUAGAUCAAAACCCUCUCGAGGGAUUGCACUAGUAUUGCCAUUCACUCUCUUGCAUGUUGGCAGGAGAUAGGAUUUGUUUGAUUAAUGUCUUUGGUGGUCAUCAAGUAUAAGAACAUGAUUAGUGUCCUUCAUUAACACAAACUUGUGUAUCAUAUGAAGUAUAGAUUUCUCUAUUAACACAGCUCAAAACACUACAUGCUCCUGCUCUCUUUCAUGCGACCGAGGGAUCGAAGGCGACGUGCAGCACCUGUUCAAGCUCAUGGAUUGAACCUAUUAUUUAUGGGUCUUCGUCUUUGUACACGGGAGUAAUCCUGAUUCCACCACCAAGGCAUCAUCUUCUUCUUCUCCUUCGUCGUCGCCGGUCUCCGCUGGUCAUGCAGCCUAAUGGCACCUUAAACAUCCAGCAAAGCACAAAGACUGAGACUUAGCUGAGAAGCACUGCAAAACAAGAUACAUGAUUGAUCGAAGAGAUGCAGUACCGACAGUAGCUUGUCGAUGGAGCAAGGAGAGGCCUGCAAGCAUGAGAAGCAGCACCCAAACCACCACUCUAACACACCUCAUCUUCAUCCCUCUCACUGCUAACUCUGAGACACACUCAUCGAGUCAAAAGGAAGGAGAUUUAGGGAGGCAGAGACCCAGGGUUAGUAGUUCCAUUCUGUCCCUAUGGGUUUGUAUAGGUGGCUGGCCUAUGAACUCUGAAAGAAGAUUCUCUAGCUUCAGGGUUUUCUGUGAUCUUUUACACUACAUAAAUUGCCUGACUGCAUUCACUUCCUUUUGAGAUCUUCCAGAAUAUUUUUGUCUCAUGUGAGCUCCACUAGAAGAGGGUAAGCACAUGACAGUUGAAAAAGACUGGUCUUGUGAGCAGACACAGUCAACAUGGAGGAGAUGCUUUACGAGCCUAAGCCUCAUUAAUUAUGUUUUCUAGCUGCAAUGUAAUGGCUGGAGGAGAGUGGAGUAGCGAACAACUAGAAGAACUGCCUCACCCAUCAUUGAUUGCCACAAAGUGGAAGGACUUGAAAGACGACCUCAGAAAUCAUAAAGAACAGUAGUUAAUGUUUCCUAGCUAGCUAGCUGUUCCACUCAUCAUGAAGAUGACUAACUAAGACUGGUAUAUUAAAUCUGAGAUGAUUGUUGAUCAUCAAAACAAGAACUACAUUGUUUUUCUUUGAGUCUUUUAGGACGUUUUAUAUCUGCCGUGGAAGAGUUAUGAACAAUUGCAAUUUCAAUUUCAGUCAAUGAACCCAUUUCUUACCAGUCAAAAUAUGGAUCACACUGACAUUCAUUUCCCUUCCAGCUUAACGAACUACACCGGACAAACCCAAGUGGUAAGCAGGAUUUCCAGCACAUUGCAGAGCAAACAUAUAUCUUUCUUAUAAAUAAUAAUAUAGGCUAUUAAGCAUGAAAGUGAUUUGACAGAGUGUGGCCGCCCAUUUUAAUCCUUCAAUAAAAUUCAUCCAUUAAUAACAAUAUAUAUAUAUAUAUAUAUAUAUAUAUAUAUAUAUAUUAUUAGGAAAAAUCUAUUAAAACGGAAUAUUCUUUUCCCUGUGUAUCAAAAUGUGUUCCUCAUCAAAAUACCAACUUGAUAUCCAAAUAUAAAUAUCAACCAGCACAUCAUAAACAAUAGAGCAAAUAAUCAAUCACAUAGUGAGACCAAAUCUUUUUAACGUGGAAAACCCAAUGUGAAAAAAACCACGGGACCAUAGUCCACCUCAAACUUCCACUAUCAAUAAUAAUGAUAACAAGUUUACAAUCGGUCUUCUCUAGAUAACUAGAGGAUCACAAUAACAUCAAGAUCAUAGAUCUUGACUCUAGUAUAGCAUAUCUUCAUCAUAUAGGAUGGAUCUCCUCAUAAGAGAAUUAUAUGUCUCACAAAGCGGAUAUAGCAGAAAAGUACCUUAGAGAGGAUAAACUGUAGAUCAACACCGUUAGGAUUGUAGAGUUUGCUGCAAAGAUUCUCCACAUAAAAUUUUGCCCAAAACUGACAAUGUUUGGCCACCGAUCGUCAAGUAGAAAACUCAGAAACCUAAUCUUUCUCUCUCUAUGUCACCCAACUUUGCCCUUUCUCUCUUAAUUACUGAUUUGGGCUUAUGGCCCAAAUUUAUCCAAGCCCACAUAUGGGCUGGACCCAACAAUUCUCCCCCUCCAACUCAUAUAGUGAGCUGUACCAAGCCCGCUCUUCGCCUACAUGCUUCAAGCUUCUCCUCAGGCAAAGACUUUGUCAACAUAUCUGAUUCAUUCUCAUUAUUAUGCACUUUUUCCAACUGUAAUUCUUUCAUCUCAAGCACAUCACGAAUCCAGUGAUAUCUCACAUCAAUAUGCUUGGAUCUAGAAUGAUAUGUUGAAUUCUUGAAGAGGUGAAUGGCACUCUAACUAUCACAGUAAACAAUAUAUCCUUCUUGUUUCAAGCCCAAUUCCUAUAGAAACUUUUUCAUCCAUAAAGCUUCCUUGUAGGCUUCAGUAAUUGCUAUGUAUUCUGCUUCUAUGGUUGAUAGAGCAACACACUUCUGUAACUUAGACUACCAAGAGACUGCUCCUCUUGUAAAUGUUAUCAAGAAUCCCGAAGUGGACUUCUUGGAAUCAGUAUCACCUGCCAUGUCUGCAUCUGUGUAACCUUCUAACACAGGUUCAUCAUUACUAAAACAUAAACAUAACCUGGAAGUACCUCUUAGAUAUCUUAAUAUCCAUUUCGCUGCUGCCCAAUAUUCCUUUCCAGGAUUUGAGAGAAAUCGACUGACAACUCCAAUUGCAUGAGCUAUAUCUGGCCUAGUACAAACCAUCGCAUACAUCAAACUGCCUACUGCAGAUGAGUAAGGCACUCUGGACAUUUUUUUUUUCUUUCUCACUUGUAGGAUAUUAUUUCGAAUUAAGCUUGAAAUGACCUGCAAGUGGGGAACAAACUGCUUUGGCUUUACUCAUGUUGAAUCUUUCAAGAACCUUUUCAACGUAAGUCUCCUAAGAUAGCCAAAUCUUCCUUUUCUUUCUAUCACGAAGAAUCUUCAUGCCAAGUAUUUGUUUCACCGAUCCCAAGUCUUUCAUUGCAAAAGACUUACUUAGCUCUCUUUUAAGCUUUCCAAUUUUUCCAACAUCAUGGCCAAUAAUCAGCAUAUCAUCAACAUAUAGCAGUAAAAUAAUAAAAUCAUCAUCUAAAAAUUUCUUCAUAAACACACAAUGAUCAGAUGUGGUUCUAUCAUACCCUUGGCUCAUCAUAAAGGAAUCAAACUUCUUAUACCACUAUCUAGGUGCUUGUUUGAGUCCAUAUAAGCUUUUCCUAAGCUUACACACCAUAUGUUUUUUUCCUUUGACUUUGAAACCUUCUGGUUGCUCCAUGUAAAUUUCUUCUUCUAAGUCACCAUGAAGAAAUGCUGUUUUUUACAUCAAGUUGCUCAACUUCUAAAUUCAAGCGGGCAGCUAAACCAAGAACAACUCGGAUAGAGGACAUUUUCACAACUGGAAAAAAUAUUUCUUCAAAGUCAAUACCUUUCUUUUGACUAAAUCCUUUCACAACUAGUCGUGCCUUGUAUCUUUGUUGUGAGUUAUUGUUUUCAGUCUUCAAUUUAUAAACCCACUUAUUCUUGAGAGCUUUCUUUACUUUAGGCAAUUUUACCAAGUCAUAAGUGUGGUUCUCAAACAAGGACCUCAUCUCUUUUUGCAUGGCUUUAACCCCCUCAUUCUUAUUCUCAUGUAGAAUAGCUUCUUGGUAAGUUUCUGGCUCUCCCCAGUCAGUUAGCAUAACAUACUCAUGUGGGGGAUAUCUGGUAGAUGGUUGUCGCUCUCUAGUGGAUCUUCUCAAUGGAAUCUCAACUGGUGGUGGAGGUGCUUGUUCAGUUGGUUCAGCAUCAUCAACUAUUGGUGUAUCAUCACGGGUAUUCUCACCACAAUCUUCUAGUUCAACUCCCCCAUGAUCAUCAUGAACAACAGGUGAAGGAACUGGACCUAAACUCCAAGGAAUAUAAAUAGAGGUUUCUGGCUUCUCAAUAUUAUCACCAUCAUCAAACAAUUUGUCUUCAAGAAAUACAACAUCUUUGCUUCUAAUAAUCUUCUUGUUCACUGGAUCCCAUAAUCUGUACUCAAACUCUUCAUGACCAUAUCUCAAGAAGAUAUAUGCUUUUGCUUUACUAUCAAACUUGAACCUCUCAUCUUUGGGAAUAUGAACAAAUGCUUUACACCCAAAGACUCUUAAAUGAUUAUAAGAUAUAUCUUUUCCUCUCCAUACUCUCUCUCUUGAACAUCACCUUUCAAAGGAACUGAUAGAGAAAGAUUUAUCAAAUCAACUGUAGUUCUCAUAGCCUCCCCCAAAAUGACUUUGGUAACUUGGCAUUGGAAAGCAUACACCUAAUCCUUUCUUCAAUGGUUCUGUUCAUCCUUUCUGUCACACCGUUCUGUUGAGGAUUUUUAGGAACUGUUUUCUCAAGUCUGAUACCAUAAUUCUUAAAAGGACCCCUGUACUCGUCACCAUUAUCUGAUUGAAUACACUUUCGUUUUCUGCCAGUUUCUUUUUCAACACUGAUAUGAAACUCUUUGAAAACAUCGAGUACCUGGUCUUUAGAUUUCAAAGCAAAAGCCCACACUUUUCUAGAAUGGUCAUCAAUAAAAAUAACAAAAUAAAGAGCACCUUCAAGAGUUCUAGUUUGCAUAGUACAAGCAUCAGUAUGAACUAAAUCAAUAACAUCUGAUCUUCUAGAUGAUGGAUAUGUCUGAAAUGCAACUCUAUGUGUUUUUCCAGCUAUGCAAUGAUCACAAGAUUUAAGAGAUGUACCUUGCAACUCAGGUAAGAACUGCUUUCUAGCAAGAGUUUGAAGUUCCUUCUCGUUGAUAUGUCCAAGCCUAUUAUGCCAAAGAUCUAUGCUUUCACCUUUUUUAAAUUGCAUUAAUCUCUCCUUUAUGUAGCUUCGCUUCCAUGACAUAAAAAAAGUUAAUUUUCUUUCUUUUUGCCACAAUUAGAGAACCUUUAGUGAAUUUUCAUUUACUUUCACCAAAAUAAUGUGCAAAGCCCUCACCAUCAAGUCUACCUGCAGAUAUCAAGUUAAGACGAAUAUAUGGAACAUGUCUUACAUCUUUGAGUAUCAAUUUGCUCCCAAUACUGGUCUCCAAGCAAAUAUCUCUAAUACCCACAAUCUUAGAUGUAUAACUAUUUCCCAUUCUGACACUACCAAAAUGACUAGUAGUGUAAUAUCUAAAGAAAUCACCAUGAGAAGUAACAUGAAAUGAAGCACUAGAGUUAAUUACCCAAUUACUGUCCUGAGCUAUAAGACUAACACAACAUUCAUCACAAACAAUAGUGGUAUUACCUUCCGCAGCAACUGUAUUGGUCUUUUUCUCAUUUUUCUUCAUUUCAUUCUAUUCUCGCUUCCAAAACAUACAUUCUUUCUUCAUGUGACCUGGCCUAUUACAGUGAAAAUAUUUGAUAUCUCUUCUAGACUUAGAUCUUCCUCUAUAUCCAUGUGGAUUUCUGCUAUGACUUCUUCCAUGUCUUUCUUGUUUUUCAGUAACAAAUGCACCAGAAGAAAAUUCACUAUGUUCUUUCCUUCUGGCAUCUUCAUUUAGCAAACUGUCAUUAACCAUAUCUAUAGUUAGAGUCCCCUCUGGCGUGGAGUUACAAAUAGUCACCACAUACGUUUCCCAACUUUCUGGUAAAGAGCUGAUAAGUAAUAAUCCUUGCAUCUCCUCAUCUAUAUUCAUUUUCAUAGCAACCAACUUGUUUGCAAGACUCUGAAAUAGGUUUAUGUGCUCAACAAUGUUACCACCAUCUUUAUACUUCAAAUUUACAAGCCUUCUGAGGAGAGAAAUUCUAUUUCCCACUAUCUUUUUCGCAAAGAGAUUUUCUAACCUUUNNNNNNNNNNNNNNNNNNNNAUUUCCCACUAUCUUUUUCGCAAAGAGAUUUUCUAACCUUUGUCAAACAACAUCAGCUCUGAUUUUAUCUGAAAUAUUCUCAUGCAAGUUUAUAUCCAUCCAUCUUUUAAUAUAGGCAAUAGCUUUUCAAUGUUGAACUUCUCAUUCUUCAUCAUCCAUAGUAGAAGGUUUAUCUUUAACCUUGAUAGGCUUAUACAAAUCUUUGCAAUAUAGCAAAUCUUCCAUCAGACGCCUCCAAGUAGAAUAAUUUGAUGAGUUCAAUUUAAACAUAUCAUCUGACUGCUCCAUUUCAAUCACAUAAGAAAACUAGCACCAAACAACCUGAUUCUCUGAUACCACUUGUUGGGAAAAACCUAUUAAAGCGGAAUAUUCUUUUCCCUUUUUGUGUAUCAAAAUGGGUUCUUCAUCAAAAUACCAACUUGAUAUCCAAAUGUAAAUAUCAACCAGCACAGCAUAAACAAUAGAGCAAAUAAUCAAUCACACAGUGAGACCAAAUCCUUUUAACGUGGAAAACCUAAUGUGGGAAAAACCACGGGACCGUCGUCCACCUCAAACUUUCACUAUCAAUAAUAAUGAUAAUAGGUUUACAAUAGGUCCUCUCUAGAUAACUAGAGGAUCACAAUAACAUCAAGAUCAUAGAUCUUGACUCUAGCAUAGCAUAUCUUCAUCACUUAGGAUGGAUCUCCUCAUAAGAGAAUUCUGGGUCUCACAAAACGGAUAUAGCAGGAAAGUACCUUAGAGAGGAUAAAGGGUAGAUCAACACCGUUAGGAUUGUAGAGUUUGUUGCAAAGAUUCUCCACAUAAAAUUUGGGCUAAAACUGACAAUGUUUGGCCACCGAUCGUCAAGCAGAAAACUCAAAAACCUAAUCUUUCUCUCUCUAUUUCUCUCUCCUCUUUCCUCAGGACGCCGUCGCACGCUGCACUCACACACGCACACCGCACGUUGUUGUCACCCAAUUUUUCCCUUUCUCUCUUAAUUACUGAUUUGGGCUUAUGGUCCAAAUUUGUCCAAGCCCACAUAUGGGCUGGACCCUACAAUUCUCCCCCUCCAGCUCAUAUGGUGGGCUGUACCAAUCCUGCUCUUCGCUUACAUGCUUCAAGCUUCUCCUUAGGCAAAGACUUUGUCAACAUAUCUGAUCCAUUCUCAUUAGUAUGCACUCUUUCCAACUGUAAUUCUUUCAUCUCAAGCACAUCACGAAUCCAAUGAUAUCUCACAUCAAUAUGCUUGGAUCUAGAAUGAUAUGUUGAAUUCUUGGAGAGGUGAAUGGCACUCUAACUGUCACAGUAAACAAUAUAUCCUUUCUGUUUCAAGCCCAAUUCCUAUAGAAACUUUUUCAUCCAUAAAGCUUCCUUGCAGGCUUCAGUAAUUGCUAUGUAUUCUGCUUCUGUGGUUAAUAGAGCAACACACUUCUGUAACUUAGACUACCAAGAGACUGCUCCUCUUGUAAAUGUUAUCAAGAAUCCCGAAGUGGACUUCUUGGAAUCAGUAUCACCUGUCAUGUCUGCAUCUGUGUAACCUUCUAACACAGGUUCAUCAUUACCAAAACAUAAACAUAACCUGGAAGUACCUCUUAGAUAUCUUAAUAUCCAUUUCACUGAUGCCCAAUGUUCCUUUCCAGGAUUUGAGAGAAAUCGGCUGACAACUCCAACUACAUGAGCUAUAUCUGGCCUAGUACAAACAAUUGUAUACAUCAAACUGCCUACUGCAGAUGAGUAAGGCACUUUGGACAUUUCUUCUUUUUCUUUCUCACUUGUAGGACAUUGUUUCGAAUUAAGCUUGAAAUGACCUGCAAGUGGGGAACAAACUACUUUGACUUUACUCAUGUUGAAUCUUUCAAAAACCUUUUCAACGUAAGUCUCCUGAGAUAGUCAAAUCUUCCUUUUCUUCCUAUCACGAAGAAUCUUGAUACCAAGUAUUUGUUUCACCAAUCCCAAGUCUUUCAUAGCAAAAGACUUACUUAGCUCUCUUUUAAACUUUCCAAUUUUUCCAUCAUCAUGGCCAACAAUCAGCAUAUCAUGAACAUAUAGCAGUAAAAUAAUAAAAUCAUUAUCUUAAAAUUUCUUCAUAAACACACAAUGAUCAAAUGUGGUUCUAUCAAACCCUUGGCUCAUCAUAAAGGAAUCAAACUUAUUAUACCACUGUCUAGGUGCCUGUUUGACUCCAUAUAAGCUUUUCCUAAGCUUACACACCAUAUGUUUUUUUCCAUUGACUUUGAAACCUUCUGGUUGCUCCAUGUAAAUUUUGUCUUCUAAGUCACUCACCAUGAAGAAAUGCUGUUUUGACAUCAAGUUGCUCAACUUCUAAAUUCAAGCGGGCAGCUAAACCAAGAACAACUCGGAUAGAGGACAUUUUCACAACUAGAGAAAAUAUUUCUUCAAAGUCAAUACCUUUCUUCUGAAUGAAUCCUUUCACAACUAGUCGUGCCUUGUAUCUUUGUUGUGAGCUAUUGUUUUCAGUCUUCAAUUUAUAAACCCACUUAUUCUUGAGAGCUUUCUUUACUUUAGGCAAUUUUACCAAGUCAUAAAUGUGGUUCUCAAACAAGGAUCUCAUCUCUUCUUAUUCUCAUGUAGAAUAGCUUCUUUGUAAGUUUCUGCCUCCUCCGUCAGUAAGCAUAACAUACUCAUGUGGAGGAUAUCUGGUAGAUGGUUGUCGCUCUCUAGUGGAUCUUCUCAAUGGAAUCUCAACUGGUGGUGGAGGUGCUUGUUAAGUUGGUUCAGCAUCAUCAACUAUAGGUGUAUCAUCACUAGUAUUCUCACCACAAUCUUCUUUUCAUCUCCCCCAUGAUCAUCAUGAACUACAGGUGAAGGAACUGGACCUAAACUCCAAGGAAUAUAAACAGAGGUUUCUGGCUUCUCAAUAUUAUCACCAUCAUCAAACAAUUGGUCUUCAAGAAACACAACAUCUCUGCUUCUAAUAAUCUUCUUGUUCAGUGGAUCCCAUAAUCUAUACCCAAACUCUUAAUGACUAUAUCCCAAGAAGAUAUAUGCUUUUGCUUUGCUAUCAAGCUUGAACCUCUCAUCUUUGGGAAUAUGAACAAAUGUUUUACACCCAAAUACUAUUAAAUAAUUAUAAGAUAUAUCUUUUCCUCUCCAUACUCUCUCUCUAGAACAUCACCUUUCGGAGGAAUUGAUAGAGAAAGAUUUAUCAAAUCAACUGUAGUUCUCAUAGCCUCCCCCCAAAAUGACUUUGGUAACUUGGCAUGAGAAAACAUACACCUAAUACUUUCUUCAAUGGUUCUAUUCAUCCUUUCUGCCACACCGUUCUGUUGAGGAGUUUUAGGAACUGUUUUCUCAAGCCUGAUACCAUGGAACCUGCAAUAAUUCUCAAAAGGACCCCUGUACUUGCCACCAUUAUCUGAUUGAAUACAUUUUAGUUUUCUGCUAGUUUCUUUUUCAACACUAACAUUAAACUCUAUGAAAAUAUUGAGUACUUGGUCUUUAGAUUUCAAAGCAAAAGCCCACACAUUUCUAGAAUGGUCAUCAAUAAAAGUAACAAAAUAAAGAGCACCUCCAAGAGUUCUAGUUUGCAUAGUACAAACAUCAGUAUGAACUAAAUCAAUAACAUCUGAUCUUCUAGAUGAUGGAUAUGUCUGAAAUACAACUCUAUGUGUUUUUCCAGCUAAGCAAUGAUCACAAGAUUUAAGAGAUGUACCUUGCAACUCAGGUAAGAACUACUUUCUAGCAAGAGUAUGAAGUCCCUUCUCGCUGAUAUGUCCAAGCCUCGUAUGCCAAAGAUCUAUACUUUCACCUUUUUGAAUUACAUUAAUCUCUUCUUUAUGUAGCUUAGCUUCCAUAACAUAAAAAGAGUUAAUUUUCUUUUCUUUUUGCAAUAUUUAGAGAACCUUUAGUGAGUUUCCAUUUACUUUCACCAAAAUAAUGUGCAAAGCCCUCACCAUCAAGUCUGCCUGCAAAUAUCAAGUUAAGACGAAUAUCUGGAACAUGUCUUACAUCUUUGAGUAUCAAUUUGCUCCCAAUACUGGUCUCCAAGCAAAUAUCUCCAAUACCCACAAUCUUAUAUGUAUCACUGUUUCCCAUUCUAACAUUACCAAAAUCACCAGCGGUGUAAUAUCAAAAGAAAUCACCAUAAGAAGUAACAUGAAAUGAAGCACCAGAGUCAAUUACCCAAUUACUGUCCUGAGCUAUAAGAUUAACACAACCUUCAUCACAAACAAUAGUGGUAUUACCUUCAGCAGCAACUGUAUUGGUCUCUUUCUCAUUUUUCUUCAUUUCAUUCUGUUCUCGCUUCCAAAACCUACACUCUUUCUUUAUGUGACCUGGCCUAUUACAGUGAAAACAUUUGAUAUCUCUUCUAGACUUAUAUCUUCCUCUAUAUCCAUGUGGAUUUCUGCUAUGACUUCUUCCACGUCUUUCUUGUUUUUCAGUAACAAAUGCACCCGAAGAAUAUUCACCAUAUUCUUUCCUUCUGGCAUCUUCAUUUAGCAAACUGUCGUUAACCAUAUCUAUAGUUUGAGUCCCCUCUGGCGUGGAGUUACAAAUAGUCACCACAUACGUUUCCCAACUUUUUGGUAAAGAGCUGAUAAGUAAUAAUCCUUGCAUCUCCUUAUCUAUAUUCAUUUUCGUAGCAACCAACCUGUUUGCAAGACUCUGAAAUAUGUUUAUGUGCUCAAAAAUGUUACCACCAUCUUUAUACUUCAAAUUUACAAACCUUCUGAGGAGAGAAAUUCUAUUUCCCACUAUCUUUUUCGUAAAAAGAUUUUCUAACCUUUGCCAAACAACAUCAGCUCUGAUUUCAUCUGAAAUAUGCUCAUGCAAGUUUAUAUCCAUCCAUCUCUAAUAUAGGCAAUAGCUUUUCUAUGUUGAACUUCCUAUUCUUCAUCGUUCAUAGUAGAAGGUUUAUCUUUAACCUUGAUAGACUUAUACAAAUCUUUGCAAUAUAGUAAAUCUUCCAUCAGACGCCUCCAAGUGGAAUAAUUUGAUGAGUUCAAUUUAAACAUACCAUCUGACUGCUCCAUUUCAAUCACAUAAGAAAACUAGCACCAAACAACCUGAUGCUCUGAUACUACUUGUUGGGAAAAACCUAUUAAAGCGGAAUAUUAUUUUCCCUCUUUGUGUAUCAAAAUGGGUUCCUUAUCAAAAUACCAACUUGAUAUCCAAAUGUAAAUAUCAACUAGCACAGCAUAAACAAUAGAGCAAAUAAUUAAUCAUAUAGUGAGACCAAAUCUUUUUAACGUGGAAAACCCAAUGUGGGAAAAAUCACGGGACCGUAGUCCACCUCAAACUUCCACUAUCAAUAAUAAUGAUAAUAGGUUUACAAUAGGUCUUCUCUAGAUAACUAGAGGAUCACAAUAACAUCAAGAUCAUAGAUCUUGACUCUAGCAUAGUAUAGGAUGGAUCUCCUCAUAAGAGAAUUCUAGAUCUCACAAAGCGGAGAUAGCAGAAAAGUACCUUAGAAAGUAUAAACUGUAGAUCAAUACCGUUAGGAUUGUAGAGUUUGCUGCAAGGAUUCUCCAUAUAAAAUUUGGGCCAAAACUGACAACGUUUGACCACCGAUCGUCUAAAUAGAAAACUUAAAAACCUAAUCUUUCUCUCUCCUCUUUUCUCAACACGUCGCCGCACGCUGUACUCACACAGCACACCGGAUGUCGCUGUCACCCAAUUUUGUCUUUGCUCUCUUAAUUAUGAUUUGAGCUUAUGACCCAAAUUUAUUCAAGCCCACGUAUGGGCUGAACCCAAUAUAUAUAUAUAUAUAUAUAUAUAUAUAUAUAUAUAUAUAUAUAUAUAUAUAUAUAUAUAUAUAUAUAUAUAUAUAUAUAUAUUCUUUUUUUUUCCUUCACUUUGCGCGCCGCCGCUGCUGCACACGUUCGCUGCCCUGCCGCUGCACCCUCUCUCCUGCACAAACGCUGCUCUAUCUCAAAACCCUUUUCGUUUGCUUUUAAUUACUGAUUUAAGGUUCAGAAAGCCCAAUUGUCCGAGCCCAAUUGUCAGGAAGAAGGACCACUGGAGAUGGCAAGUCCUUUAGGGAGCGUGAGGAGCAAGAUGCGCUUCGAUCGUUAGCGCACGUCUGGAAGUGAUGAGGUGGGUGGGGGUGGCGCAUUUGGCAUCGAGCGCCAUGGCUGCCAUGGACGAAGCUUGUGUUGCUGCGUUGGUCAACGUUUGCGGGACACUUCGGAUUUAAUGUAUCCAAUUGGAUGGUGCCUUUAGAUUCUCACGUUAGCCAGCUGGGCUUUCGCAUCACCUCAUAGCUCGUCUGUCUCAUCCCAGACAGGAUUCAAGAUCGUAGGGCCUUUUCAUCGGUCAUAAAUGCGGGACCCACCACCUCGGGACUUUUGUUUGCUUCGUACUAAUUAUAAUCUCAAUUUGGGUUUGGAAUUAUAAAUGAUGGCUUACUUCCAAAUCUCAUUUACUAUCUAACAUUGUCUUAAUAAUUUUAAUCCUUACCAUAUGCCUUGAUCUUUUGGGGAUUCUAAACCCCUCGUCGCACAUGCCAAUAGAAUCUUAAACCUACUUCAUCUCAUCUAAAUUAAUCUCAAAUUCCUAUUCUUUAAUCUAAAGUUUUAUUAAGUUGAAUACUCUAAUUCAGUUACAUCCAAACUGUCGGUCUUAAACUAUAAAUAUAUACUAUAUUAUUGAAAGGCACAAUUUCUUUUACCAUAUGGUAACUUUUUCAAUUAAGAUUUUUAUACAUUAAAUAAUUUAUGUUAUAUUAAAUAUCAAAAAUUAAUUAGGAGUGUUUUUUUUUGUCUUUUUUUGCUAGCUGGGAACCUAUGAUCUGAACUUUAAUAUUUUUUUCCCUUAAUUUUAAGAAUUAAUAGCUUAAAACGAAUCAAAUUUGAGACAAACCAAGAAAAAAAAAACCUACCAUCCAUGAGAUUAAAUAUAUAUAUAUAUAUAUAUAUAUAUAUAUUAUAUUCCUUGAAAUGCUUGAUUGACAUUAACGUUCUCUCGUUGGAUUUUACCCUUGAAAGUAAAUUAUUCGUGAGCAAGAAUAAGCUCUAUAAUAUGAUGGUGGCCACCCCGAGAAGGAACUCAACAUAGAUCAAUCAAUCACUCGUAAGCAACAGCCGAAUGAAGCCGAAACCUUCGAAACAAAUAUCUUGUUCGGUCCCACCUCAAUGAUCUCGUUGAUCCUCACCAACCAUCAUCAUAUUUAUUCCGACUGUUUUAGUCCUAACCGACCAUGUGUUUGUUAUUAUGUCAGCCCAUGAAUCAGGCAUAGCAUGUCGCCCACCCCAUGUGCUCUGCCGCACUCACUCCCCCGUAAAACCCGCCACAAUAAGCUCCAUCCCGCAUCAAUCGCUAUUCUACUCAAACGUCUACAGGGCUUAUAUCCCCUUCAGCAAACAAGCUCACCAACAUCAAUUAAAGUUGUCAUUUCUUUCCUGGCCCUCACAAAGAAGCUCAUCGCAGCCAUUCCUUUCUCGUUUCUUAAGCCAUAAAAGAACCUCUCCUCCAUCAAUGACCUCCUUAUCCUGAUGCACGCCUAUAAAGCACGUCCAACCCCUCUCCCUCUCUUCCUCUCCAUCCAUAUACAGCUCAAAGUCUUCCAAGCUGUGUCCGCACAAAGCCAAGAAGAAUGAUCAAGCUGAGAUCAAGGAAGCUCUUCAAGAGGAGCUCCAAGCUCGGCAGCAGCACCGGUGGCUGCAGCGGGAACGGGGAUGUCCAGUGGGAGCUGCGGCCCGGUGGCAUGUUGGUUCAGAAGAGAGGAUGCGGAGAGGAAGCUGAUGAAGUGGUGACGGUGAGAAUCUCCACUGGAUGGAAUUGGCAUGACGUAUCUAUCGGAGCCACUGCCUCAUUCGGUACGCCAAUUAAUGCUCUCAGCCUCUGUUACGCGUUUUCUCCAUCUUCUUGUUACCUACCUGAGCUUCCAUGUGGUGUUGCAGGGGAGUUGAAGACGGUGGUGGCGAUGGUGACAGGAAUGGAGCCAAGGGAGCAGAGGCUUCUGUUCAGGGGCAAGGAGAGAGAGGAUGGCGAUCAUCUUCACAUGGUGGGUGUUAGGGACAAGGACAAGGUGCUGCUUUUGGAGGAUCCUGCAAUCAAAGAAAGGAAGCUGAGGGACAUGGCAGGAAGUCAUGUGGUGAGCAGCAGGCCAUGCCACGCCAUUAUCGAGGUGUAGAGCUUUUGCCCCUUUUGUCUCUGUCAGAACCACUAACAACAUGAGAAUUAAGGUCUUCGAGGCCAAACUCAUCCUUCACCGAGUACUAGUGUGAUGAGUGAGUCAUCUGUAAAGUAGAUGUCGAGAAGCUUCCUCAACCAUCAGAGUUGCAUUCCAAAGUAAUUUUGAUGUUGUGAAACGGAAACUCGUUUACCUUAACUUGAGUUGGUGGGACAUCACCUCAUAUUCUUGUACUGAGGAACCUGGUAAAAAUAAAAAGAAACUGAGGUUUCAUCUAAAGCAGGAUUCACAAACUACUAUUUCAGAUUGUUAUUUACAAUUUUUCUUUUAGAGAGAGAAACAGGCUAAUCCAAUUUACCUAAAUUUUUAAUUGUAAGAUUCACUCUGGAAAAUGUAUAAACCAAGUUUUUUGUUUACAUAUGGAAUAUGAUGCAAAUGAUUUUUGAGUGUGUUCGUUUUAUAAGCUCUUUACGUGUACAUGAGAAUGCGUUGACCAAGAGAUCAAAGACUUGGUUAGUAUAGCAUAGUAAAACAUAUCCACUGUUUGUGCUAUGGUUUCAUUUUUUCCGAUCGUCUUAAUGUCGUGUUAAAUAAAUUGUUGGCUUUACAUCUGAAUUAGUCAAAAGCUAACCAACCAACGAUUAACUUUCUAGGAGAUAAAAUUAAAUUAUAUUUGGCAUGAUCAAUUUUGAUCAUCCACUCCACGUGGUAAAAUUGAUAUUGGGUAUUAUCACAUCAAGAAAGAGGGAGAAAAAAAAAAAACAAUUCUUGAGAGAUGUGAAACUCGAUCUACCAAGAAUUUUACUUGAAUGGUAUAUCAGAUCUUCUAAUAAUUAAAUUAGUUUCUGUUCAUUAGUCAUGAGCGAAAAAUGCUUCCAACCAGUUUUAAGUUUUAAAUUUCUGUUUAUCUAAUGAUCGCCGGUUAAUAAAGAGAAUUUAGGCAUUAUGUCGAUAAAGCAUGUCUAACGGAUUUUUUUUUUUUUUGUUAUAUGUGGAAGCCAUCAUGACAUUCUCCAUAUGUCAAAUCCUAAUAAAUAAUAAUAAUAUAUUUUUAUGUAAAAAAUAAUUUUCUUAUAUAUGUCUAAUUUAACUUUAUUAUAUUAUUGUAAAAUAUAUGAAAUUUACAUAAUAUAAAUAAAAUAAAUAAAUAUACAUGUAUGUAUACGUAAUAUAUGUCUUCAUUACUUCAUUAAUUAACCAUCACUUGUCUGCGAGAGCAAAGACGCUCAAGUUUGAUAUAUAAAAAAAGCAAGAACAUUUCAGUAAUUUCCAUAUUGAAAAUGUUUCUAAAAUCUAAAUAUUUGCAAAUUUUCAUUAGACUUGAGAUAGUCUUUUAUCCAAAUUUGCGAUCGAUAUCGGUGGUGUUUUUCUAAUAAUAAUAGAAAUUCAUGUAAUCGAAUAGUUUAAGACUUUGUAAUAUUUGGAAAAUCAAAGAGCGUUAGUAUUUAUGUAAAGAUAAUCUUGGAAUCUUUGGAAAUGAAGUGAACCGCAUGCGAAAUUUACUGCACGGAUGCUCACGUGCAUUAAAUACGACGAGUGGUUAUAGAUAUAUGUUGGACCAAACACACUGAAGUGGGCAGCACGUGCGGCCCGCGUCGCUUACGAUUCCGGAAUCGACAAGGAACCCACAGAUCGAAGGAAACCACUUCCACGCUGCCGCCGCCGACGCGACCGCCACCAGUCCCCGCGACUAGGGCAGAGAAGACGAAGCGAUGCCGCCGAUAAGAACGGGGAAGCGGCUUCGGUCGGCGGAGGCGGAGGAUGGGGGGUUCCCCUCGAGGACGCGCAGCGGCGGCCGGAGGCCCCCCCCCGUCCAGAGCUCCCCACAGCUCGACUUCCCCGAUAAGUGCCGCUCUAAGCACUUGGAUGCAAACGUAUGGGUGACCCUUUCGUCACUUCCCAUUCUAUUCGGCUUCUGUUUCCGUGUUCUUGGUCUUUGCCCUCUUUCUCAGCCUGAAUUUCUUGGAUACAAUGCGGAGAAAGCAUAUGCUCUAUUAAUAUGCUCAAAUGAAGGCCUUCUUCUUCGUCUUCUACUUUUCCUUUCUUGGUCUCGCUGUAGUUUUAGCUACAGCUUCGGUGCGGAGUAUGGAUUCUUUGGGUAUUUAUAGUCCAACAUAUUUGGUGAUUGGAUUUAACAGGGGAAUCCAGUGGAAUCCACAAUGUGCCACCAGUGCCAGCGGAAUGAUAAGGGUAGGGUUGUUCGUUGUACAAAGUGCCGGUCGAAGCGAUAUUGCAUCCCAUGCAUUACGAGAUGGUAUUUUUCUAACGCAUCCUUUUUUGUUUUUGGUUAUUGAAGAGCAUUUUUGGAUUUAAUCGUAACAUAUUAGUUUGCGUUUAUUAGUUGCCUUUCAAUACGAUGCAUGAUGCGGUUGUCAUCAAUGUGGAAGUUAGUUCUUACAACAUGAAGUGGGAGAAAGAGGGUCUUAUGUUUCACUCUUUUUUCGGGGGAAGGGAGGGACUGCCUAUGAGUUUAUAUAUACACAUACACACAUUGAUAAAUAUGAUAGCUAUCUAAUUAUGGAAAUUAGCUUUCAUACUGUCACCCAUACGUGACAUUUAUACAUGUAUGGUUGGCACAACACAACAAAUAGUUGUGUCAACAUCCUAUGCUGGUAGCAAAAAAGGAAAAAAAAGGUUUGCUACACUUAGCUCAUACAAGAAAAAAGAGCAUGGCAGAACUGUAACAUACAUAAUAGAAAGAAUUAAAAAGUUAGAAAAUAAAAUACAUGUAUUAUUUGAUUUUUUUUCAAAUUCAAGGAGGUUAAAUUAAGUUUGUGUUUGAUGCAAUGGACGUCACAAGAGCGAUAAAUAAGAGCAAAAUGGCCUCUUAAUCAAUUCACUAAAUUAGUAUAGCAUUGUGUGCAUUAACAUUUUAGAAAUGGUUGAUAGACCUGGAGUUUGAUGAAAUUUUAUCUAAACGUAUAUAAAUUAAACAACUCCUCUGAUGCUUCCAAAGGAAAAUGAUGAUUAAGAUUUAAAAUACUCAAAAGGGCCUUGGUUUGUGGACAGUUGAAUUAUGAAUUGGACCACUAGAUCUGGUUGGUCAUUUGAGUCUUUAUAUCAUAAAUAAUAUAUAUAACCUGCUUGUUGAUCAUCGGAACAAAAAAUAAAUAUUAAAAAAGUGCUAGAUAUUUAGACAUACGGACAUGUAGUUCAUCCUUUCAAUUGCCAAAUUUCAGAUAUGAAUCCUAAAAUUCAAUUAAAUACAAAAGAAAAGAAGGUGCAUAAUCAUAUUAGUUAAAGAAACAGAAACAAGUGGGGCGGGGUGCGGGGGAUGGAGAGCGAGAGAGAGAGAGAGAGAGAGAGAGAGAGAGAGAGAGAGAGAGCACAUGCAUGGAUGUCAACAAGUCAUUCACCUCACAGAAAUGAGCUAACUCUUCUGCAUUGUCGCAUCACAUGGUCCAAAUAGCCCAUUGAAUUCCAGCACAAAUUAGACCUUCCUCAGUCCUUUGAAUUUUUCACGAACUAUAUCUUUUCAAUCUUCAACUUAAUUUAAACAUAUGUUGAGCCCAUACAUACCUCACAUACUGCACCGUUAUGCUUGUUUUGUGAUUGAGGUAGUGAGGCACUUAUUCUGUUCUCUAUCCAAAAUCAAAAUAUGUUAUGUUGCAUGCUCGUGGGAAUGGGUCAGGUUGGAUUGUGGUUGGGGGUAAUGGUAGAUGACUUGCAUAACUUGGCUUGACUAACUAUUGGCAAGGGAUUCUUACCACUGAACCUGUUGAAAUGGUAAAAGUUUCUUUUCUUUUCCCUUCUUUAUAAGGAAUUUGGAAAUGAAAAGUGGAAUAGACAGUAGGAGUUUUUUCCUUUCUACUUUGUGGGGAUUGUGGAUGUGCAUGCAAUUAAUGGAGCCAAUAAAUGAUUACUCUGGAAGGGGCAGUUAUUGCUAAUCCUCUUUCUGUGGAAGUCCUUGUUUUAGAUUUUUGCAAAAUUAAAGUUUACUUGAUUAAAAAAUUGAGGGGCUCUUUGUAAUGUCUGGAAAGCUCUUAUGCAUAAAUUGAUGCUUCAUAGGAUCAUAUGAACCCACUUCACCCAUAAGGGCUGAACUUCAAUAGGAAUGUAAUUUGAAGCUCUACUGCUGCCUUAUCCCAUUCUGGUGGUAAAUUUAAAUUAAAUCUUCUUCUUUUUAAGGUUUCAUAGACUUGAUUCCAUAUUUAUAAAACUGUUUUCUUCACAAUAAUUUAAUUACCCAUAAAAAGUUCUCCAAAUAUUUUAUAUUUCUAUAAUAACUGUCUUUCAAUGUGUAUUCAGUGUUAUUAAGUAUUUUUGCAUGCUAGCACAGUUGACUAUUUAGUCAAUUAUACCCAACCUAGAUAUGGUAAGUUUUGGUUGUCCAAUCUAACACUGAAUGCAAUCCUUUCAUCAAGCAUCCUGCAGUUUGUAUGACUUAUCCUAACUGUGGUCAGUGGAACUUCUCAGAACUUAACAGGCAGUGGUACACCCAAGUUCUUAAUUGUAGUUCUCGAUGUUUAUUUUCCUGUAAUUGUGUGCUUAACUUGCAAAAUGGGUGCUACGGAUUUGAUGCAAUAUUUUGUAGGGUGAUAUCUGGUUUUAAAUAAUUACAACUUCUGUGAUUAUUAGUUUUAAGCAUACUUAGCAUAACUAAAGUUAAUUAUUAAAAUGUAGGUAUUCUCAAUUAACUGAGGAGGCAAUUUCUGAGGCUUGCCCAGUUUGUCGAGGAAAUUGCAAUUGCAAAGCAUGCUUGCGCAUGGAUGGAUCAUUGAAAGUCCGUUAUUUUGCCAGAUUCCUCUGCUUGCCCUAUUUAUUUCAUUGUUAUGUGUGUUUACUGAGGACUGAUAAUCUAUAUUGGUACUUUGUUGCAGGAUUUGUUGAAAUUUGGUGUAGAAUUUAGUGACGAUGAAAAGUUACAAUACUCUGCUUACCUUCUCCAAUUGCUUCUUCCAGUCGCCCAAAAAAUAAAUCAAGAACAAGUGUUAGAAAAGGAAUUGGAAGCAAAGAAUCAAGGUUUUUCUAUUAUAUUUUUGUAAAAUAUUUGGCAUUUUUGCCCUAUGCUUAAUUCAGUCUGGAUUAGGACCAUAGAUGGUCAGAUUUAGAUUGGAUCAGGGUUUUGUCCGAACCUGGUUGGACUGAUAGGUAAAAACUGUGUGUGCCAUUGCCAUUAUCAUUAACCUUUUAUUGUCAAUUAUAUUAUUUAAGCAGUAAAUGAAAUAAUAUAUUAUUCUACUUGACUAAAUCAUAAAUGGUUUGAUCAGGUUCAACAAUAUUAAAUUGCAAUAUGAUAAUCAGAUUGGAUUAAGACUUUGUUUGUUAAAUCAAAAUGUUUAUUAUGUCUUUGGCUUACAUCAUAUCUGGAUAUGGUCGUGUCCUAUGAUUUACAGAUCUACUUUGGAUGAUGAUGAUGAUGCAAAUGAAGAAAAGCUGAUUAUUUUUGUUGGACUUUCAUUUGACCAUUACUUGCACUCCUAGAUAACAUUAGUAAUUCAGGAAUCUAUGGCUGAUUUCCUGGAGCUUUAGUUGAAUGCCUGUGUUGUUUAAUGCACUCCUAGAGAACAUGAUGGUUGAUAGUGAUACUCUCUGCCUUUGUUGUUUAAUGCCUUCAAUAUCUCUGGAUUUGUCACUGGAUAGAUGAGGAUAGUCACAAAAGUGGCUUUACAUCCAUAUUUUGGUGGACGAUUGCUAACAUGUGAACAACACUCCAGUCUUUUUGUUGAAAACUUUUAGUUGCCUAAUCUUUGGUAACUUCAUGCUGGUACAGGUUUAUCUCUAUCAGAUUUUAAGCUUCAGGAAGCAUGUUGGAAUGCUGAUGAACGCGCAUAUUGGUAUGCAGAACAUAUCCUUUUUUAAAAUAUAUUUUGGAAUAUAUAGGGAAGUUAAUGCCAUGGUGUUUCCUGCAGCAACAAUUGUAGAACUUCUAUUUAUGAUUACCACAGAAGCUGCCCAAACUGUUCAUAUGAUCUCUGUCUUACUUGUUGUCGGGAGCUUCGUGAGGGCCAUCUACAGGGAGGUGGAGUGGAAGAAGUUGAAUAUGCCGAUAAUGGGUUUGACUAUUUGCAUGGUAAAUAUUCUUGUGCUCAUUUCCCAGAAGGUAGAAAAGACUUGGAAGGAAUCUCUGAGGACAAAUUUAGGUCAAUAUCAGAGUGGAAAACACAGAGCGAUGGUAGCAUUCCUUGCCCCCCGCAGUCUAUGGGUGGCUGUGGAAGUGGCAUUCUAGAAUUAAGGACUCUGUUUCCUGAUGGUUGGGUUUCAGACUUGGUAUUGAAAGCAGAAGAACUUGUUCAUACCUACAGAUGUAUGAAUAUCACUAGAGUUUUGGAACAGGGAUGCUCUUGUUUCACAUCAGAAGGUGUGGUUGACCAUGGCAAUGAUUCAGCAAGAAAAGCUGCCUCCCGUGAUGAUAUGAGUGACAAUUAUUUGUACAGUCCAAAUGCUCUGGAUAUUCAAAAUGAGGAUCUGAAGCAUUUCCAAUGCCACUGGGUUAAGGGUGAACCUAUAAUUGUAACCAAUGUGCUGGAAACGACAUCUGGUCUGAGUUGGGAACCAAUGGUGAUGUGGCGUGCAUUUCGCCAGAUUACAAAUAUCAAACAUGGUCAACACUUGGAUGUAAUUGCCAUUGAUUGUUUGGACUUGUCUGAGGUCAGUUCAUUUGUUUUCAUUGGUAAUAUGAGAUUGUAUAUGUGACCAUAGUGCAUUGUUAAAAUGAAACAUUUUAUUGAUAUCUCUUGAGGAGAGUUUUGAAUCUUAUUUGCAGAAAUCAAAACUUUUCCAGUUCACAAAAGAUGCCUAGGUUCUGAUAUGUAUAUGUAUAUAUGUGCAUAAUGAGCAAAAAUGUAGUUAGCAGUUAUAUUGGUACAUCAAUAAUUUUCACUUCUCGUGCUAAUAUGAUGUUGCAGGUUGAUGUGAAUAUUCAUCAAUUUUUUAAGGGGUAUUCAGAGGGCCGAUUUGACUCUUAUGGGUGGCCUCAGAUACUAAAAUUGAAAGACUGGCCACCAUCUAACUCAUUUGAGGAGCGGUUGCCACGCCAUGGGGCUGAGUUUGUCAAGUUGUUGCCUUUUAAGGAGUAUACACAUCCGUUCAUAAAAAAGGAGAAGCAUAAAAAGAAGAAAAAACCUAAGGAGCAGAAGCAUAACAACAAGAAAACACAAAAGGAGCAUAAACAUUAUCGAUAUGGUUUUCUUAAUCUUGCUGUCAAAUUGCCUAAGGAUGGACUGAAGCCAGACUUGGGGCCAAAGACAUACAUUGCGUAUGGGUUUAUACAAGAGUUAGGUCGUGGAGAUUCAAUCACUAAGCUUCACUGUGAUAUGUCUGAUGCAGUAUGUAUAGCUUCUUAAUUACUUUCUCUGAUUUGAUCUUUUGUCAUCUUAAGUUUUGGAGUUACAUGUGGGUAUCAAAUGAGACUAUCUGCCUCGUGUGGUCUCAUCUGAUAUGAUGAUUGGAAGCUUCAUAAAAUUGAGAAAACAAGAACGGUUAGUGAUGACAAUUGGAGGCGAUGUGACCUUUCCUUGACACUGCUUGCUUGAACUAUUUUCAGGAAAAUACUGUAUUUUGUUUUGGCUAUGAGUAGCUCAGUGCAAAUUGAUAAAUCCUUUCAUAUAAUUAUAUUUUUAUAGUAUUUUUUGAUUCGUUUACUUUUCUACAACAAGAAGGUUUUCUCAUUAUAUUGCAUCAUGGUUGUAAUUUCUAUUCAGGAAGGUUUAAAAGGAAUAUUAUGGGAUGGCUUAUUCCAAGUACUAUAAAAACUUAAUUAUAUCCUGUUGUGUUUCUCUUGAUUGUUUAUGUGAUUAUGAUACUUCAUUUCUUUCAAUUACUUUGUAAAAUGGUUUCGAUCUGGAUGUUUGAACUGUCUGAUAAUUUUAAAUACCCAAAUUUCUAACUGCUUAAAUUGUCUGGCAGAAUAAAUUCAAUUAAUUUAAAUCAUCACAGAUUAGAUACCUAAGUUACAACAAUUAUGCCACUUUGCAGAUUAAAAAUGCUCUACUAAUGUGGUCCAUCUCUUGUCAUUAGUAUCCUGUAGAAGGUUUCAUAAUCACUUCUCAAGACCUGGUUGGUCAAACUUAUCACGAGCAAUGAAUACCACAUCCUAAAUUUGUUGUAUUUCACUCUAUUUGCUCAACAUUUUGUUAUUGGUAGGGUAUUUUUACAUUGUGUGGGACCUUUGGGUUACAAUAACAUAUUUUGAGAUUGAGAAAACUAGCACUAUAAAGCACUGAUAUUGUUCCAGGCACAUAUAUGAUUUAUUUUAUUCAGCUUUCACAUUGGCCUUGAUGUUGUUUCAAAUCUCACCAAUCUGUUGAUUUUUUGUUUAUAUUUUGUGCAUUACACUCUUUGAAUGAACCAUUUUCAGUUAAAUGAUCUUGCUUAUUUGAAUAUUCAAAUGGUUAAUUCUCAGGUGAACAUUCUGACACAUACAGAGGAGGUUACUCUAACUGCUGAGCAACUUAAAUGUGUAAACGAGUUGAAAAAACAGCAUGCUGCCCAGGAUCAAGUAGAAUUAUAUAAUAAUUUUCAGAGAGAUAAUGAUGUGACGGGGAUGCAACAAACAGCCCCUUCGAAGAAGUUUAAGCCAGAUCCAGAUUGUAUUGCCUUUGAUAAUGAUGAAGCUCGUCUGAUGCUGGAAAAUCAUGACCAUCUUAAUGGUUCAUAUAAUGAUCAAAAGACUAGGAUGACUGACAAUACGGUGGCUGAUAAUCUGGAUGUAUUUAUGGAUCAGGAUGAAAAAAGUGAACCUUGUUGUCCAACAAAAGAAAAAUCUCAUUGCAAUCUGGCUAGUGAAUGUGGAACGACAGUUGAUAAGAAGACAAUGCUUCAAUAUGAGAGGAAGGGACGAAAGCCUUGUGGAGGAAAGUCCAGGAAAGGUCAUAUUAAUGAUCAACCGGAUCAAACUGAUCCUGAGGAAGUGGCAAUUAGGGUUGAUGCCAUAGCAGGUACAAAUGUCCGUGAAAGUCCAUCUGGUGUUCCUCAAAAUGGCAAGGAGUCAUUGCUUAAUAGAGUUACACCUCUUAAUAGUAGUGUACCUUCCCUAACUUCAGACUUUGAAGGGUUAGAAUAUGCAGAGGGAGGUGCUUUGUGGGACAUUUUCAGGAGGCAAGAUGUUCCAAAGUUGCAUGAAUUUCUUAUGAAGCACUUCAGAGAAUUUAGGCAUAUCCAUUGUUCUCCAUUACACCAGGUACAACAAAUUCCAGCCAAUACUGAAGCACCUAGAUUUUAAACAUAAGUACAAAAUGUGUUUGAAUUGUUUUAAUAUGCUAUAUUUUCAUUAUGUUUUAGUCUUGAAUGAUUAUGGACAAUAGAUAUCUUAUUGUUUUGUACAUAUGAAAAUGUAAUCACUUCAUUUCUAUAGUUCUUUAUAUUGACACUUUAGUCAUAGAUUCUUCGAUAAUUGGCCAGUUUGAAACCCUUUGAAGGUAGUUACACAUCUCUUUAGCAAAUAGACUAUUAUUUUGAUCUUAUUUGAUUUUCUUGUGAUAUCUUUGUAUUAUUGCAAAAGGGAGCCCCAAAGAUUUGUAGGUUGAUGUAGGAGUUCUAAUAAUGCAAAAUUGGUGAUAAUACAUGUGGCAGCGGUCAUCGAGGUAUUAGACAAGGGAUCCGUUGUCACCCUAUUUGUUUAUUCUUGUUUAAAACUGCUAUCUAGUCUCAUUGAUAAUUUGGUGGACUGUAAUCUCCUCUCUGCUUCAAUAGCAAAGGGCUUAAGGUUUCUCAUUUGAUUUUUGCUGAUGACAUUCUCAUUGUGGUUAGAGCCGGCCCUAAAAUCUGCGCUUCUUUAGAAAAUCUAUUGGAGUUUUAUUCCUCCCUCGUUAAUUUCAGGAUUAACAAAGCUAAAUCUGAAUUGUUUUUUCCAAAAUAGUGUAACCCAUCUAUCAAACAUUGUGUUUUGAUAUUAAGGACGAUUCCUCGCCUUUUAAGUACGUUGGAACUUAUCCUAUGGUAAAAUCCUUGUCUCUCUUCAACAGAACCUUGUGGACAAAGUGUUGAACAAAAUCCAAGGCUAGCAUCAGAAUUAUAUAAUUCUCAAGUUGACUAGUUGGUUCUUAUUAUCUCUGUUACCAAUACCAUUCUCAUGUACUCGUUACUUAAUUCUAAUGUCUCUCCUUCAGCUCUUGUCCAAAUUUGUUAGGGAAUUUUUUUUGGAAGAAAUCUCCUAAUUCCAAAGGGUUAGCUUCAUCAGCUAGGAGAGAGUGACCUCUCAUAAAACUGCAGGGGUCUUGGAGUUUGGAAUCUCACAGUAACCAUGGAUUUUAUUUGUGAUAAGAGACUCCUUUCGUUCUUGAAUAAGGAGAAUAAUUUGUGGAAGAAGGUUCUUACCUCAGUAUGGGGUAGUGAACCCUUGUGUCACGGACUUAGCUGGUUUUGCCUAAGUCGUGUGGCACCCUUGCGUGUCAGUCCGCAAAGGUCAGUCUCCCCGAAGCCUCUCAUGGUCCCUUAGGAUCCACAAAAGAGAAAACGGGUUAGAGAAAACGCCUCACUCGGGAUCCACAAGCAAAUAUUUCUGAAAACACUUCAUAAACAAUGCAAAUUACAAACAUACUUUACAAGCUUUGAACAGUUGCACAAUAAAAUGUCAAAAUGAUCCACUACAGAUCGAAAAUCUCUCACAAGUGUCCAUAUGACACAACCUUUAUUUAUAAGCCUAAAGCGGCCACCAAAUUUAACUAAAAUGGGACUAUUAAGCCUUCGGUUGUCCCUCUACAUGCUAGGCAAAGCAUGAACAUACCAAAAGACACGAACAUACAUAAGCAUUACAUCAAACAUCCUGUUUAGAAGUUUGUCCGUGACACUUGGGCAAGUUGCUAUGAACAAACCUAGUGCAUCUUUUAGUUGGAAAAACUUACUGCAUCACUCUCACAAUUUUGAGAGGGGGAUCUUGUAAGCUUAUUGGUAAUGGUCGAAUCGUUUGAGUUUGGGACGAUCAUGGUUAGAAAAUAUCCUUUUCGGUAAAUGACCCACUUAUUGCAAUUUUGGUUUUGUGCAUUAUUUUGAGAAAGUUUCGAAGAUUCUUCCUGGAAACUGCAUGAUCUUAAUUUGUGCUUUCAUUUGCUCCUGGUUUGUAGGAUGCUUGGUAUUCAUGUUUCCAACAUCCCCAAGGAGGAUUCUUGGAUUUUGGUCUUUUCCUCCUAGUGGUCCUGUCAGAUCACCUGUUUAGAGAGACAAAAUUGAUGAUAGCUUUUUGCUUGGUUGGAAGGUGAUGUGGAAUCUGAACAUCCAACCCAAAAUUAGUCUUUCUAUGGAAACUAUUGUGGAACAUAUUUCCCACUUCAUCUUAUCUUUCCAAGUCCCUACAUCGUCAAUCGUCUCAUGUCCUCUGUGUAAUUUGUUUUUUGACAGUCUCCCAUAUUUUCUUUGAAUACAAAAUCACCUUAGAGUUGUGGGAUAAGGUUCAGUGCCAUGUUGGGGUGGGUUUCAUGUUCUUCUAGAAUUGGGCAUAUGGGGCCUGGCUUGAAGAAGGGGGGAAUCUGGGGUCGCCUACUGUUGCCUAUCUAAUGCCUAUAGUAGAUAGCCUUGUUGCAACAUCCUUGUGUGGUUGGCUCGGAAUGAUGCCCACUUUCGCAAUUACCAGACCAAUAGUAUAUCUAUAUGGAGGAAGGUAGUGGCCACUACUAAUGACCAAUUACAUUUUACCAAGAUUGCUUAGGGGAUUCAAAAUAGUCUUUGUUCAGUUAGAAAUAUUGAGUGAGUGCUGGGAGGGUUUCCUUUUAGCUUGUAAUGGCUCUUAUGACUUGGUUUCUGGCAGUGCAGGUGUGGGCUAUUCCCUGAAGGAUGAGCAGGGACGAUUGGUGGCUCUGGGGUUUGUUGACAGCCACAUGAGUUCGCUCAUUCAAGCUGAAGGGGCUGUGCUGGUAGCAGGGCUAAAGCAUGCAAAGAGGCUGAAUCUAACUUACCUAAGGAUACAUUCAGAUAGUUAGAAUCUUAUAAAGAUUUUCAUGGGAGCUACACCUGCUCCUUGGCCUAUUCGGUCUAUCACUGACGAUAUCAAACAGUUGGCUGGUGGGGCCAAUCCAACUGAGUUUACCCAUGCACCUAGAGCAAGUCUUCCUUUUAUACAUAAGCUGGCCUAGAUUGGGAUGGUUUGGUUGGAGAUUGUCCUCCUCCAAGUUUUGUUCUGUCUGAUCAACAUGAGUAAUUGUUUCCUUUAAAAGAAAAACAUGUGGAAGGGAUCAGUUACUCCUAACUCAUUGUUUCUUCUGAUAUUUAUUUCAUUAUGCAAUAUGUGGUACAUGCCUAUAAAAAGUAUAUGGUAGAUGAUGUCUUGCUGUUGAUAAUACAGGUUACUCAUCCAAUUCAUGACCAAACAUUUUACUUGACUUUGGAGCACAAACGGAAGCUCAAGGAAGAAUAUGGUCGGUUGAUGGAUAGUCAGUCUAUUUUCGAGAGAUAUCUAUGUUUAGUUCUUUCAUGAUGUUAGCUGCUAUUUAUUUAAAUUGGCGCAGGAAUUGAGCCAUGGACAUUUGUUCAGAAACUUGGAGAUGCUGUUUUUAUUCCUGCUGGUUGCCCCCAUCAAGUUAGAAAUUUGAAGGUAAUAUGCAAUCUAUACAUUUGUUCGAAAUUCUAUAUUCACAUACAUUUACGAAAGUGUACAAUAGAUGAAUUUGAACUUUGCAUGUGCAAUAAAUGAACAGAAACUCAUGUGGCACAAGCUGCCCAACAGCUUGAAAACACCAAAACUGUAAGGGAGUCUGUUACUGUUCCAAUCUAUUUUGAUGUUCAUGUUAAGCAACCCACUCCAAUUUUUUUGACUGCUUUAUGAUCUGACACUCUUUAUUGAACUACUCAUGUUUUAUAUACUAUAUAUGAGACGUGAAAGUCAACGGAGAUGACUCCUUUGUAUGGUUAUGUGCUUAAAUGUGAAUCCUUUUUUUGUUUUACUGUGAAAAAUAGAACAUCAAAUUAAUUCUCGCUUGAUAGAUGGACAUUCCUGAAUUAACUAGGGUUACCUUUUACGUCUCUUCUGAUGUUUUUCUUUUCCCUCUUAAAAGUCAUGCAUAAAAGUUGCCCUCGACUUUGUCUCUCCCGAAAACAUCAAGGAGUGUGUCCAUCUGGCUGAUGAAAUUCGUGUGCUUCCAACCAAUCACCGGGGGAAGGAAGAUAAACUAGAGGUAUUUUUUCUGUCAAUAAUUUGUUGCUUGGUAGUUUUAUCACAUGAGCUUUAAUUAAAGCGAUCAUGACUGAUGUAUUUAGUGCCAACAAUUGUUUCCCCUUUCUCAUAUCCUGGCAGUGCCACUGGUUUAAGUUUUAGCUAGAGUUUGACAUGAACAGGUUCAAGAACCCUGCAAACAUCUGUAUAAAAUGCUAAUACAAUGAAUUCCGCAUUCCUAUUUUUUGUCAGCAAUUACACUAUGAAACAUGGUGUUUGAAAAAUGUUAUUUGUGCAGGUGAAGAAAAUGGUAAUCUAUGCAGUGCAGCAGGUCAUUAAAGAUUUAGAGGAGUUGGGCAGGUGAGUGAUAAAUCAUGCUUUGAGCUAAAUGAUCUUUUUCCCUUCUUUUGGAAAAUUAAACAACUUUGCUUUGCCUUGUAUGAUCAUAUAUAUAUAUAUAUAUAUUUAUUCUUUUUUCCUCUAUUAUUGCAGCUUAUGAGAAAAAAAGGGCGACAUCGUCUGCACAGGAACAUGUUAAUUUUGAUGAAAGGAACAUGCCUAUUUUUGGGGGUUUUUUUUUGGGGUUUCCCUAACCAGUUUAUGUACAUCGAUCAAACUUUCUAUCACUAAAUCAACUAUCUAUGAUUUAGGUUAAGAAAUACAAUACUGCACUACAUUUUUGUUCCCACCGCUUGCAAGUUGGUGGCGUAGAUCGUGACGCGUGUCUUUUAAUAUUUUAUGUAUAUAUAACUCCAAAAAGAAUUUAUAGCACUCGUAGAUGUUGCAUCCACGUGUAUUGCGAUUUGGUCUAAGAGCAGUGCUCCAAGUGUCGAACCAUAUUACCACGUUUGAUGUACGCUAAAAUCAUGGUCUUGUCUUGAUUGAGCUUGAGUAGUAGCAUCUUAUUGGAAAAUCUCUACGGUGGCUAUUAAUCAGAGGAGGAUAGACAACUUCAAAACUAUAAAUUUUUUAUUCAUAAUAAUAACUUGAAAUAUUUGAAGGUUGAAUCUUUCUGACUUCCUUAGUUUUACCUCAUCUCUCUGGGUUUUUUUUUUUAUUUUAAAAUUGUAUCUAAUAAAUACAUUACACUAUUUUUUAUUUAAUAAAUACUUUUACUUUAAUCAUGAUAAAGACUCUUCUUUUAACAGAAACAAUAAUAAAGUUAAACUAUAUGGAUUUUUUUAUCGUCACUCUUAUUUUUAAUUAAAAUUAUUAAAUUAAUUUUUUUUAUCUAAAUUUUUUUUUGUUUUCAAAUCAGUAAAUGAUGCAAGCUGGAUCAAUCUCAUUUCUUUGAGUUUUAUUAUGUGCUAGUUAAAUUAACUAGCACAUACUAUCAUCAAACUUUGUCAUAGUUAGAAGUAAAAGUGCUGGACAGAUUCCUCUGCAAAUAAGAGAUUUUUGAAGUAAAUGGUGAGAUCUUGAACUCUUAAAAACUCUUGUGAGUGGUAUUUAGGUGUAGGAUUCAUUGGAUGUGGUUUGUAAAUAGAUCUAAUAUUUUGUCACAAGAUCAGUGUCACUUCCAACUUUCAAAGUUGUCUUUUGGAUAAUUAAAAAAAAACUCUAAAAUUUUAUUUUUAUUUUUUAAAUAUGUGAUUACUUUUGAUUACCGUUUUUGUCCGAUUGCCAUGUUGCCUCUAUCCUUCGUUUGCUAUUAUCGUUAUGAUAACCAAGGUGAGUAGUCUCUAAGGAUGAUUAGCAUUGAUGAGGCUUCUAAACUAGUGAGAGAUGUAAUGUCGAUUUUUCGUAAAGAAUGAGAUGGAACGGGGUGAGCUACCAAUGGGUUUAGAUAUGUCAAUGGAGACGAUAUGUGAUGGAGAUUCAAAACUUAACAAAAAGCAUUCCAUGUAGCUUGGCACCUUCAACAUCAUCAAUGAAGUCAUGUGCACCUACCAUGUCGCCACUCAUCGAUUUAGCAAUCCUAAGACCAAGAUCAACUUUCUUUAUUUCCUAACUCUCUCAACGACGAGCAUAAUAUCCUCUAACCCUAGUGUCAUGAUCGUCGAGCCUUUUACCUCACCCAAAAGGCACUCUUAAGACAUCACCCAUUUUAAUCGCCAUGAUGACAAUAACAAAUGAGAGACAAAGGCUACGAGACGAUAAACAAAGGUUGAAGAUAUCAAUCGAUCGGGCUAAGUUUAAAAGGGUGCUUUUGUGUUAUAGAAAAUAAUGUGUGUUUUGUAUAAAUAAACCAAAAGAAAAAGUUAUGAAGGAAAAAUUGUAUAAAUAAACCAAAAGGAAAAGUUCUGAAGGAAAAAAAGAUAAAAAUUUAUAUAUAUUUUUUAGUAAUCUGCCCUUAUUCUUUUUAUUUAAGCAAUGUAAACAGUCCACCAAUCAUGUGAUCUCGUAAGUGACAAUAAUUGACAUGGGCUAAGCCACAGGCGGUAUUCUCCCUUCUCCACGUCUGUACCUUCCCAAUAUUCCAACCAGAUUCCUUGGCUUGAUAGCACACCGAGGUGAAUCCCCACUCUAUACGUCAUCGAUUCCCCCAAUUGCCAUCGUUCUUAUUCUUAUCGUCAUCGUCAGUCGUUCUGUCGACCAGUUAUUCUUGAAAAAAUCUGAGGGUUUUUUGGUCAUUUUAUAAAGGACUACCGACGGUAUCUUCUCUUGGCUAUUGGUUAUCAUCCCGGCAGGAGAAACCGGGUCGAUUCGAGCGAAGGGGAAAGGAGGGCAUGGCGUCGUGGAACUCGCUCGGGUUGGAGAUCACGUACGAGGCCUUCGGAUGGAUCGCCUUCUUCUCCUGGUCCUUCAGCUUCUACCCUCAAGUUAUUCUCAAUUACAAGAGGAAAAGGUUCGGAUCCUUUUUGAUUCCGUCGUUGAUUUCAAUCUUCAUUUUCUCUUCUUUUCUGUUAUUCUCUAAGGCAAGAUCGGAUUUUGUUUGGUUUCUUGCUGAAUUCAUGGGAUUUUAGGGUGGUAAUGUAUUGAUUCUGGUCUUGUUUCUUUGGUGAUCGAAGCGUGGUGGGCUUGAAUUUCGAUUUCCUGGUGCUCAACGUUACGAAGCACUCGUCGUAUCUCGUAUAUAACGCGGCCAUGUUCUUUAGCCCUGUGAUCAAGAGGCAGUAUCAUGAGAAGUAUGGUUUCGGAGAGGUUGGUAUCUUUUCUGUUUCUCCUUGUCGUUGAUUUCUUUUGUAUGUGUAAUUAUUGUUUUGUGCUUCUGGAAAGGUAAUUUCGACCGAAUUACCACUAAAAAUGACAUUUUGAUUGAAUCGAUGGACGGGCAAACAACGUUACCCUUUGUGCUUUCCCUAUUUGACUUUAGGGGACAUUGGUUUUUCCACCUCUGUCCUUGUUCGAUUUCAACUUGCUCGCCCAUAGUUUAAAGGUUGUCGUUAAGCCAUCCAUGUUAUUCUUCGUCAGUCGUCUUCAUCGUUGUUGUUACGUACCUCAUGCUGCACGCCGGUUCAGUGACAUUAAGCCGUUCCGUGGUGACACGCAGAUUACGUUCCUUGUUCCUUUACGGCAGGAAACCGUCUUCUGGUUGUUUCCGAAAUCGGUUUUUCUCUUUCCACAAACUUUUUUGCUUCUUCGGAAUGGGAAUGGGUUUCAACUAUAGGCUUACUCCAAAAGCAAACGAGGAAGAAGGAAGAAGCAGAAGAAGGAAGGAGGAGGAGACGAAUUGGAGGUGCGGCGGGUGGCAGCCAUAGGUGCGGUGCGACAGCGGAUAGUGGAGAAGAGACACUUGUGUGUCAUGAGCCCUGGUUCAUCGUGCAACCGUGUUUAAAAGAAAAAAGAGAGCCGCUUAAGUAAUUAAAGGGGACCGACCAUACUACCUCAAAUAGGGAGGUCCACGUCUGGGUUCAUGCCCAGACUGGUAGAUAUCCAUUGGGUAGGGGUCGAUCUGGACAAAAUUGAAUUCCCUCUUAUAAUCACUAUAGGAUGUCUUAGUAUUGAUUGCAAUAGAUUUAUGUCAAUUUAGUAGUCAAUUUUCAUUCAGUCUUCUCUCUUCAUUUCUGGGAGGCCAAUUCUCUUGACCUACAUAAUGUAGUGAUGGACAAUCAUAUCUUUUUUAUCGGAUGUAGACCAUCCGUAUAAGUUGAUUUGUUUUUGUUAUAAAAUCAAUGUGGUGGUAUGCUAUAAAGUAUAAGCCUGCGAACCAUUUCUGUCAUAAUAUUGAAUUUCUUCCAAACUUCUGUUAUACACCUUAAAAUAUUAAGUAUGGGUUUGUUCGGCUGCCUUGCUGAAGGUUUUGCCAUAGAUUCUACAUAUGUAAACUAUUGAUUUGCUGAUUUAACAUCAUGUUCGUUUGGAAUGUUUAUUCUCUAGGAUGUGUGUACGAAUUAUUCUCUUAAUUUCAGAUGAUUCCUGUAGCUGCAAAUGAUGUGGCUUUUUCAGUACAUGCUGUUGCGUUGACGGCUUUUACAUUGUUCCAAGUUUUGAUCUAUGAAGUAAGUAAUCCUUUUUUGUAUGAGAUCAUUUUCUUGCUGUAUGUUAUAUUGUCCCUUACCUUCUUUCCUCUGCUAACUCUCUUUUUGCCUCCUUUUUAUUCUUAAUCUCCACAGCGUGGAAGUCAGAAGGUCUCAAAGACUUGCAUUGGUAUCACUGUUAUUGUCUUGCUUUAUGCUGUGGUCUGUGUGUUCUUAGCCUGGCCCAAUCAUUCUUGGCUUUGGCUCAUCUCUGUUUUCAAGUAAUACUUUGUUCUUAUAAGAAAACUAAUGUUUUGAAAAUAUAAUUUAACUAAAGAAACAUUUAUGCAUUCUAUCUUCUGGAACCCCAAGAAAGAACAUUAAAGAAGACACCUUUAACAUCUAUAAGUUUUGCUUUUUUAAAAAAUUGACUUCUUGCAGUUGUCUCAUAUUCUCAUUAAUUUUUCUUUAAUGGCAUGAAUUCAGCACAAUACAGGUUAUCAUGACAGCAAUCAAGUACAUCCCACAGGUAUAGAUGCUUUUUCAUUUGUUUUAUAUUUUAUUUGCAUAAUUUAUAUAAAGUGUAGAAAGUGAUAGAUAAAAUUUAUUAUCUCAUUUUAAAGGGUGCUAUAUAUUUAUUCAUGUUUUGAUGAUAGAUCAUUUAUAUCAAGAUUUCUGAAUAUUUGCUCUCAAGAUAGUGUUACAGUGGUGUCUGGGAUAUGUCCAAUUAAGCAGCCAGACAUUUUUUUUCAAAUAUAACUGAGGCCUAAUAGGAGUUCCAUUUGAUAGAAAAACCACCUCGUGUGAUACUUAUCUUUUGGUGAUACCGAGCAAUUAUUUUGAGGUUCAAAUAAGUUAUCAUGUAUAUUGUGGUUGGCUUGAUACAUAAUGAGUGACGCUUGAAACCAUUUUGAUAUUAACCAAUGUAACUUUAGGACUUCCUCUACCCAACAUAAGCAAUUGUGUUUUCCUAUGGCAGUAAAAUGAUACUAUGCUAGACUUCCACCCAGAGUAUGUCCACUUUUGCUUUUUGAACCUUGUCCAUUACAACGAUUCCAGUUCUUUGUACCAAACCUUUUGUUUUAUCCAUCAGGAAACUUGGUUGCUUCUCCCUGGUUCAUACAAGUUGAUAAAAUUUUGCUGGAAAGGCUGAUUUUCCAGCUAACAAACCAACAUUUAUUUUUUAGGUUCUAUAAGAAGCCAGCUGGGUGACCUCUAGGAAUCCUGCAUUACCCACAAUAGUACCACACUGGGGUGAUUUCUUGAGACGAGUCACUGUCCAUCCCAAAUGGCACCGUCUGGCUACUCCUUUUUGGAAUUUGAUCAUUGUGGUUCUGACUUUGGUCAUGACAUGCAGCAGCAUGGUGGACCAUGACAUCUCUAGAAUCCCACAUCACCAAUGGGGGAGAUUCAAUCUGACUUCUGCAUAAUAUGCAUAAUAGCAAGUUGUUUUGAAUACAUGAAUCUGUCUAUCAGAGUCAAGUUCAUUAGUCAGUUAUCUCAAGGGGUAAAGUAUUAGAUAUCUUCUAUAGAUAAUUGUAAAAGGAUUAUAUAAUUCUUUUCAGGAAGUAGACUGUAGAAAAAUUUGCAUCGCAGAAGUUUCUGGCUUUAGAUUUCAGGUUUUGUAGAUCAACAUAUAAGCAUACAUAGUUGUCAUAUAGUUAAUAAUCUAUCAAACUAAAUGACUGCAGCUAAGCUAAACUUACAAAUAAGUGAAGGAAUUAUAAAGGUAAUUUGGACUACACAUGGCAUCCUCAACAUGGGUACAUAAUCUAGUAGAGUAUUCUUUACAAAUUUCCUGGAGUCUUCAAUUAAAAAAAAAAAAAAAGAGAAUGUGAAAGAAGAUACUUUUAAGGUUUUUCUUUUACCCAUUGCCUUUUUUGUCUUCUAGAUGAUAGAUAUAGCUUCUUACAUUCUCAUGCAUUUGUUAGGCAUUCAUGAACUUCCAGCGCAAGAGUACAGUGGGUUGGAGUAUCGGCAAUAUCUUGCUUGAUUUAUUGGGUGGCGUGCUGAACUUUGGUCAGAUGGGUGUGCAGUCUAUAGAUCAGGGUGUGUCAUGCAUUUUACAGGAGAUGUUCUCAUCCAUUAUGUGUCAUUAUUCUGAUUUUCCUAUCACAUGUUUUUAUGCAGAGACACUAGUUAACUUCUAUGGAAAUUUUGGCAAGACACUGCUUUCACUGGUAUGCAAAUGCUUUUUGUUCUUUCAUUUUGCAAUCUACAUCUGAGAUGCACGAGAUAUUUUUUGUUACAGCUUUCAUAUCAUUUUUUUUGUCUCAAAUAAUGGCCAGUCCUCCUGUUUAGCUGUUUGUGGUACAAUUUUCUGGGGCAAACCUGUAACAGUAUUUGAAUUAACAUCUUUGAGUGCAUUUGUUUUUCCUGAAACUCUUUGAAUGCUCUUUCAAUUACAUUACUGGUGCUAAAAAAGUGUGGAAGUAGAUCUAAGAAGACUAUUAGAAACAAGAAGGAAGGAUCAUAUGACCCUAAAUAUGGUUAGUGAUAAUAUCUUUACUGAAGCUCAGUGGUGGGGCUGUUGUGACCCCAAGUUGUUGGAAUGUCUCACUUGUUAUUGUCGGUCUAAAUAUAUUACAACCUAGACAAUUUAUUUUACAAAAUUUCUAGACCAAAUAUUUAUCGGUAAUUUAUUAAAUAUAGUUUGGAGCAGCUUGAUGUUUUGCACACUUUUAGUAGUUUUGCUACACUUAGUUAAUAGUUAGUUGCAGUUUUCAUUAUGGGUCAUUUUACAGAGUUCAUUUAGUUUCUUUGUUUUAACUCUUCUAAUAGCAAUUUGUUCAAUUUAUGAUCGAUAUACUAUUUUACUCAUCACUAGGUUGAACACAAAUGCCCAAACUCGUGACUGGACCCAUCAACUCAGGUCCUGAGUUUGGUUGUGUUGGCAUGUUGGGCAGCCCAACGUGAACUUUCUCUCUUCAUGAUUUCCUUUCACUCUUUAUUACACUCCUCCCUUGUAUCUCCUUCAUCUCCUUAACCUCUCAUUCUUCGCCCCCUUGAUAUCCUCUCUUCUGUAAUCCUGCUAUUCCUUGUUCUCCUCUCCCUCCUCUAUUGGAUCUCCCCCUAGUCAGCCAUCCUCUCAGCCUCCUAUCCCUUCUCCUCACCUCCUCACUUGCAGAUGGGGAUGCUGGCGCCAACAAGGGCAUGCUGUUCAGGAAUGGAGACAGAGCGCAAAGAUUGAAGCCUUGAUGUGAAGGCGAUGGCAGGACCCAGGAGCAACGGCAAUCUGUUAUUGUUUUAUUUUUAAUUUUCCCCUUUUCUUCUAUUGAAGACAUUAAGUAAUAAAUAAAAAAGAAAUUAAAAUUAGGCUGGCCUAACUCAGCACUAGUCUAGAGGCCAUAGGUGGAGACUGUCAGGUUGAGCUUUGGAUUUCUGGAUCCAACAUGCACCACAUUACUCCUCUAGGAAUAGAUAAUAGAUGACUCUUAAUGAGGUAGAUUUGGUGAUGGAGCUGAUAUUGCAAGUUAACUCAUCAGUUUGCUUUAAGAAUCAACCCGAUCAACUGACUAGUGGCAUUAUCAUGUUUGAAUUUUUUCGGUCAGUGUGCUAGUUCUUUUAUAAUUCAGUGUCAGAGUGGGGAAGGAGAAAGAUUGUUGCUCACUGUGUAACUCAUCUUCUAAGGACAUACAUACAUGCUUUGAUUUAUCUAGUAUUGAUGCAGACAAGACACCAGACUGCAAAUUGAUUAGAACUAUUAGAUGCAUAGGAUUAUUUCACAAAUAGUUUUUAUCAUUUCUGAACUUGCUAAAUUUGUUUUAUGAGAAAUAGUACGAUAUAAUUAUCCCAGAAUGCAGUUAAGCAGUCAGUUUUGCAUUCCGUUUCUUCUAUGGUGUCCUUAAUCAAUGAUUGAUCUCAAUUUUAUGUUAACUGAGGAUGAUGUAGCUAGAAGAUAUCUUGAGUCAUUGCAUAUCUUGCACAUCUCUGCUCAUUUUAUCCAAAAUGCAUAUCCUUAAGUUAUUAUUAUUUUUUUCUUUUUCUCUUGCAGGAAGUAGUGCUCUUUGAUAUUCUCUUCAUUUUCCAGCAUUAUGUGCUCUAUCCUGUGAAGAAUGAAGGAAACCCAACCAUUAUGGAAGAAAAUAUUACUCCACUUAUCAAUUCUGAAGAGAAACCGCAGUUAGCAAAUGUGUAGGGGAUUUCCCGAACUUUGCUUGCUUUAAGAUCAUUCAGACUGCAUAUUAACGAUUGUACUGCAUUCAACGACGCAAUGUUAAACUGGGAGCAAAAAGGGAAGGCAUAAGUUUGGAGGUGAUCGAUCUGUUUUGCAUGAGCAUCAUGCAGUUGUUGAGGCUGUAAUUCAUAAAUGGUGCUUUGAUGCAUAUUGAAACUUGACAAUUAAAGUGAUAUUCUCCUGUGAUGAUAUGAUCGAUGAUAUGUGAAGCAUCCAGCGGGGGUCAAUAUAUUAAGUUAACUAUUACUGAUUGCAAUCAGAUUAAACAUGCUUGGAAAUUGCCCUCCUUUUUGUUACUAAUUUGUGUUAUUGCACUUUCCUCUUGCUUAUGUAAGAAGAGUUAGCAGUAUUGUGUCUCUGAAUUCGGUAGUCAUGUCCCUCUAAAUUCAUCUGUUGUCUGUCUCUAUACCUAUUUGGUAUUUUUUCUUUAAAUUUUUAUUUAGUGGGAAAUAUUUCUGCAAAGUCUACAUUCUAUUUUAUCUUGAGAAGAAUGUUGUG
Molecule: long non-coding RNA, 48016 nt
Filed under: Musa acuminata (dwarf banana)
Lineage: Eukaryota; Viridiplantae; Streptophyta; Magnoliopsida; Zingiberales; Musaceae
Description: long non-coding RNA (MACU_LNC008649)
Source: RNAcentral